This 82764-nucleotide long non-coding RNA is filed under the name Triticum aestivum (bread wheat). RNAcentral's name for it is "long non-coding RNA (TAES_LNC007995)". The stretch from base 77306 to 77440 matches the Rfam family "MIR1120/MIR1122 microRNA precursor family". The record is from RNAcentral. Lineage: Eukaryota; Viridiplantae; Streptophyta; Magnoliopsida; Poales; Poaceae.
GGGUGGCAUUGGACAACGACAAGGUUGCAACUCGUCUUUCAAGUAAGUCUGCAAGGUUUGUUCCAAAGAGGCGUAAGUGUGCAGCGUAAAGACAUGGAAUCUGGUGACAUGGUGUUGAUCACUUUGGCGUCGCUCCUAUCGAAGAUGAUGUUUGUGUUAAUGCCUUAAUGGUGCACUGCAGGCAGAACCAAGUUAAUAGGGCAAAAUCCAUAUAUGUGAUGAAGAUGAUGUACUGAUGAAUACCUAUAUCUAUUAGAGUAGACUAUGCAUGUUUCUGGAUCAUCUAAUCAUGAUGUACUGAUGAAUACUCCUACAAUUUCUAAGCUCUCUUUAAUUGGGAAGCUCUCAUAGCUCUAUGGUCUAGAGUUGUUGCUGCCUGCACCUCUCAGUCGGGUCCUCUCGUGUGGCCAUAUGGUGUUUUCUAUCCCUUGAUGCUUUAUUAUAUGAGAUAAGAAAGGACGCCCUUUUUUGAAAAAAUAUCUCUCUCCAAUCUUCAUUCAUCUUGAUUUCACUCAUGUUGUACUCGUGUAGUUCACCCACAUGUGAUUUUCUCUCUCGUCUCUUCAGGCUAAUCUUGACCUCAAUCUCAGAUUAUUUAUUAUUAUUUUUCUAUCCAUUUCUUGCCUCUCCAGGCUAAUCUUGACCUCAAUCUCAGAUUACUAGACCGAAAGCGCACCCUGGCGCGCCUUGCCUGGUUCAGCACUAUGGCCAAGCAUCUAAAACUUCAAUAUAAGAUAUAGAGCAUGGACAUAAAUAAUAUACCAUAAGCAAGGUGAGAAAGGUUAUAAUCCUACAUGUUUCAGUUAUGUUCCAGCCUCAGCGAGUUCAAAAGGCACAAUAUGUCUCAAAGAGGUGGGAUAAGAACAUGUAUACUAGUAAUGAUUCAGUACAAAACGCGCACACAACUAUAAAUGAUAGUAAUGCUUCUGUACAUAGAUCCUUUUAUCCACAACCAAGCCAACGCUGGGUAUCUAUGAAAAAUCAUUGUCAUUUACAUGUGGUACUCUUCUACUUGAGCUUAUCUUCUCAGCAUGUAUAGUGUUUUUCUCCAAACGAUAGCCUGGUUUCGCUUGUGCAAGGCUUUCAGUAAGCAUCCCAGUAAAGGUGCAGAGAUGCAAAUAAACCACGGCAUGAUGCAUCCAUACUAUGAAAUGAAAAGAAGGACAAGAUCGUUAAGGCACAUGGAAGUGCGUGAUGUGCUUAUACAAAAACAGAUACUACAUUGUAGAAACAUAACUUCUCAAAAAAGGAGUGAACAGUGAAUACAUCAAAAGUACAAUGAAUGUAUACCCAUUGUCAGUUCAUUUACUCAGUAAUCAGCAAAAAUAUACUUCUCAACAUUUGAAGUUUCAAAUAAAACAAAGGCUUGAGAAAGGACUAAUAACAUAAAUGAGAAGAGGAACACAAACGAUAGAAGAAAGAGGCCAGGGUAUACCUUAAAUCAAGUAUAUUUUAAUUCAGUUUCUCGGUCAAUCCUUCAUACCUCCUCAUUUGUAGUUAUCUGAGGCAAGGAACAGAGAGUAAUCAUUCACACAAAGUACUUCACAACAUGAACAAUCUCAUUCAGUUUCUCGGUCAAUCAUUCAUACCUCCUCAUUUGUAGUUAUCCGAGGCAAAGAACAGAGAAUAAUCAUUCGCACAAAGCACUUCACAACAUGAACAAUCUCAGCAUACAACUCCCAAUUGGAAAAAUCUUAUUCUAGGUCACAAGGAAAUGAUUUAGUGAAGCAUGCACAUGAACCCAACACUCUGUAGAAGCAAAUAAAUAGAGAAGGUAAAAAGAAUGGUAUACCUUCAGCUUAGCCACAACGUCGAGCAAAAUAAUAUGAAUUAUCAUAACUAUUUUCAUUCAUUGUAAAGAUUGGUAAAGAAUGAGUCAUGUAUAGCACAAGUAUGACUCAACAUUACAACAAAAGGGGGAAUGGAAUGGUUGAUUAAUGAUUAUUAUAGCUAGUAUUUUGAUUCACUGUAAAGGUACAAAGAAUGACUCAGCAUUAGAAAUAAUUACAUUAGUUGAUUAUUGAUUAUCUGUAGCUAAAUCUCAUUUUAAAAUACAACCAAGAUGAACAAAAAAUCUCACCCCGCCUUUGGUGAAAACACUCUUCUCUAAUUGCUCAUUCCGUGACACCGUGAGUCGCUUGUCAUAUCACAAGUCGAUCUGCAACCACAAAUGCAGUCAGAUAACCAAUCUAGAUUAGUGACCUACCUGAAAGAACAAAAUAGAGGCAGUCAAAAAGCUACCAUAGCUAGCUAUUUCAAAAUAACUAAAUAUGAAAGUGAAGAAAAAAAUCAACAUAUAUUGCCUUUUAAAUGAGGCAAGUACAUCGAUGAUUCCUCUGACAGAAGAUGUCAGGUCCUAAAACCGCAAGGGUGUGUGCAUCUAGUGUGAAAUUUGUUGCCGACUCUUCAAAUUUCUAUNNNNNNNNNNNNNNNNNNNNNNNNNNNNNNNNNNNNNNNNNNNNNNNNNNNNNNNNNNNNNNNNNNNNNNNNNNNNNNNNNNNNNNNNNNNNNNNNNNNNNNNNNNNNNNNNNNNNNNNNNNNNNNNNNNNNNNNNNNNNNNNNNNNNNNNNNNNNNNNNNNNNNNNNNNNNNNNNNNNNNNNNNNNNNNNNNNNNNNNNNNNNNNNNNNNNNNNNNNNNNNNNNNNNNNNNNNNNNNNNNNNNNNNNNNNNNNNNNNNNNNNNNNNNNNNNNNNNNNNNNNNNNNNNNNNNNNNNNNNNNNNNNNNNNNNNNNNNNNNNNNNNNNNNNNNNNNNNNNNNNNNNNNNNNNNNNNNNNNNNNNNNNNNNNNNNNNNNNNNNNNNNNNGGUUAACAGAAAGCAAGCUGAAAGCUUGUUUACCUUAAAAUCAUCUCUUACAUAGCUUAAUAUCUACAACCCAUCUCCAAAUGAUUCGUACAGUGUUGCAAACCUUGUCAAUUGGGCAUCAUCCUCACAUUCUUAAGUAUUUACAUAUAUGAAUUAAGCUCAGUUGGUAUGAGCACACAAGUGUAAUAUGAUUCAGUGCCUAGCAAGAUAGAACAAAAAAUGUCAAAAAGGGUAGAAUAGACUUGCAGAGAGGCUACCAACAUAACAAUAGGGAUUCCUUUUUACCAAAAGCAAAAGCAGCAAGCUUCACCUUGCUCCAUGAAAAGUAGGGCUCAUACGGGCUAGGGACCUGAUUCAUACCUAUGGCAGGCUAGCCUCGAUAGGAGCAGAGACUUAUAUGUGAACCUGCAGCGCGCAUUGGUGCACCGUGCUGGUUCCUAACAUUUGUGCCUAAGCAUUUGUGCCAGGUAGAUUGUAGUUGUGGGACAAGCUUAGCAUGUUUAGCCAAUUAACAUACCCAUGAUAAAGCAUUUUUAAGAGCAAUAGGGUUAUCUUGUUCAAGAGCAAUAGGGUAGCAGAAGCAGCCACCACGGCAGUGAAACGAAUAUUGAAGCAGCUCCCAUUCUUGUCCUUUUUGGAUUGUUUAAUUUAUUUCCCUAAAGAUAUGUUAUGCGCAAGAGCAUUCCAAAUUUCAGAACAUGGCCGAUUACAUCGUAAAGAUUGAACUUCAAACGAAGAAGUCAAAACCAUUCAAAGUUGUUACUACCCUUUUUUGUCUGCCUGUUUGUUUGACUUUUUCAGUGAUACUUAGGAUACCAGUAUACCAGUUAUUUGAGAAGAAGGACGGUACAACAAAAUGCAAGCCUAGUAGCGAAGUAUAAGCAUUGCAAGAUCGAAGUCUGGUUGCCCAUUUUGACUCCUGUUCUCACCUCGAUCGGCAUGAGUGGGUGAUUCAUUUAUACUCAAGCAACUGAUCAUCUCCAUUAAGCCUGAAGUUUGCAAGCCUCACAUCACCCUGGAGCAUGCCCCUGGUGAGGAGCCGCGUCGGCCGUUCCUCAGUGAUGCACGGGGUCUCCGCGUCCUUGGGCUUGAGCAAGAAUUUGAACUCAAGUGUUUCUGCAGUAAAUUCCACAGAUCAAAAUAGUUAGAAACAAUGCACAUGUGCGGUAGUUUACAGCAACGUUUGCGAAAGUGAAUCAUACAUUUGAGCAUCCAAUUGAGGCAAACAAACCCGUGCAAAAGAAUAGUAUAUGAAAACACAAAAUCCUAAAGGUUUUCAGUUUACUGAAAGGCUACUUGAGAGUACAACACUAAGCAGUUCAGUUUAGUUAGGCAGUAGGUAUGUAGCAUGCAUACCAUGGUCCGGCAACACAACUAAGCUGACCUCCCGCAUGUUCGCCAGCUCCCUUUCCAUCGCGAGCUGCAUAACCGAAACUGAAUCAAUGUAAACCUAAACUGUCAAGCACGAGCGCAAAAGUAAUCAGGAGCUGGUGGCGGGUCCUUACGGCGCAGGCAGGUUCUCAUGAGCCGAUGAUGGGCUCAGAGCCGUAGACGUGCGGCACGAGGUCGCCAAUGAUCCACACGUUCUCCAUCUUGAGCGACACGUAGAGCUGGGCGCUGCCAUGCCACGACCCCGUCACGGCGCCGCCGCCCUCGUCCCCGCCAACUCCGUCGCCGCCGCCGCAGCCACCAAUCAAAUAGCAAACCCUAACCCUAGAACAGUAGCAGGCCCGACGUGUUACCAGCAGUGCCAGAUAACAAAUCGAACAAAAAAAGAGUAAGGGAGCAUGAAAGAACCUCCUCCGUUGCACGAAGACAUCAGCGGCAUCCAACUCACCCCUACUCCGGCCCAACCGCAAGACGAUAGCCUCCUUCCCCUUUCCCAACUGCAAGCGGACGACCAAGAGGGAAUCAGUCGCAAGGAAAGGAAGGAAGCUGACAAGGGCGGGAGGAAAAGCACCUUUUUCACGGCGGCGAGGCAACGAUAAGCUGGAACGGCGUCGGAUCUGGUGGAAAGGGAUGAAGUGGAGAGAAAGGGACGAAUGAGAAGCAGGAAGAAGAUGGAUGCACCCCUCAGGGCAUGUCCAUCUUAGCAAUGCCACGUAGGAUAAAUGAUGAGGUGGAGGAGAGAAAAAUCAUAAAAAAGGCUUGUUUUCUCUAAUUUAAGAGAAGACAAGAGAUGAUCUCUUAGUACGAUAUGUCUUACCAUGUUUUUAGGAAGAGCUAGUUAUUGAAGAUAAGGCUGAGAGAUGACCCAUUGUAUACAAUUUUUUUUGUCAUUUAUAAAUUUACAUGCAAAACUUAAGAUAAGACUACCUUAUCAACCAUUGUACAUGCCCUCACUCACCUCAUCCACGCCCGAGCAAACCAGCACGUGACACGCGAAGGGUCGACACAUGAAAUCCCCAUACUGCCCACGACGGGUUCUCAAAAUUACAUGCGGAGCCACCGCACGAUCCAGCGUGGAAGCCACACACCGCAGCUAGCCUCACGCACGACGCCGACAAAAGGGCCCCACCAGGCAUCGAGCCCACGCGACAGAGAGGCGUGAGCCAACGGGGAACGUCAGAAAGGAACUGUAUAGCUGUUCGAAGCCGAAUUUUAUGCAACGGCCCAGCUCAUCCCAGGGACAGAUCUGACGGCCCAAAUCGCAUCAAGUUCGAGAUCUGACAGUCCAACUAGCCUGAGCUCUGAGAGAGCCCAUGUUUAGACAGGAAUAUAACGGAUAACACUCGGUAGAAGCAAAUAAAUAGAAGGUAAAAAGAAUGGUAUACCUUCAGGUUAGCCAGAACAUCGAGCAAAAUAAUAUGAAUUAUCAUAAAUAUUUUCAUUCAUUGUAAAGAUUGGUAAAGAAUGACUUAUGUAUAGCACAAGUAUGACUCAACGUUACAACUAAAGCGGGAAUGAAAUGUUUGAUUAAUGAUUAUUAUAGCUAGUAUUUUCAUUCAUUGUAAAGGCACAAAGAAUGACUCAGCAUUACAAAUAAUUACAUUAGUUUAUUAUUGAUUAUCUGUAGCUAAAUCUCAUUUUAAAAUACAACCAAGAUGAACAUAAAAUCUCACCCCGCCUUAGGUGAAAACACUCUUCUCUAAUUGCUCAUUCCGUGACACCGUGAUCCGCUUGUCAUAUCACAAGUCGACCUGCAACCACAAAUGCAGUCAAAUAACCAAUUUAGAUUAGUGACCUACCUGAAAGAACAAAAUAGAAACAGUCAAAAAGCUACCAUAGAUAGCUAUUUCAAAAUAACUAAAUAUGAAAGAGAAGAAAAAAAUCAACAUGUAUGGCCUUUUAAAUGAGGCAAGUACAUUGAUGAUGCCUCUGACAAGAGAUCCUAAAACUGGAAGGGUGUGUUCAUCUAGUCUAAAAUUUGUUGUCGAAUCUUCNNNNNNNNNNNNNNNNNNNNNNNNNNNNNNNNNNNNNNNNNNNNNNNNNNNNNNNNNNNNNNNNNNNNNNNNNNNNNNNNNNNNNNNNNNNNNNNNNNNNNNNNNNNNNNNNNNNNNNNNNNNNNNNNNNNNNNNNNNNNNNNNNNNNNNNNNNNNNNNNNNNNNNNNNNNNNNNNNNNNNNNNNNNNNNNNNNNNNNNNNNNNNNNNNNAACCCAUGCUUAAAGGGUAACAGAAAGCAAGAUGAAUGCUUGUUUACCUUAAAAUCGUCUCCUACAUAGCUUAGUAUCUACAACCCAUCUCCAAAUGAUUCGUACAGUAUUGCAAACCUUGUCAAUUGGGCAUCAUCCUCACAUUCUUAAACAUUUACAUAUAUGAAUUAAGCUUAGUUGGUUUGAGCACACAAGUGUAAUAUGAUUCAGUGCCUAGCAAGACAGAACAAAAAAUGUCCAAAAGGGCAGAAUAGACUUGCAGAGAGGCUACCAACAUAACAAUAGGGAUUCCUUUUUUACCAAAAGCAAAAUUAGCAAGCUUCACCUUGCUCCAUGAAAAGUAGGGCUCAUAUGGGCUAGGGACCUGAUUCAUACCUAUGGCAGGCUAGCCUCGAUAGGAGCAGAGACUUCUAUGUGAACCUGCAGCGCGCAUUCGUGCGUCGUGCUGGUUCCUAACAUUUUUGUCUAAGCAUGGGUGCCAGGUAGAUUGUAAUUGUGGGACAAGCUUAGCAUGUUUAGCCAGUUAACAUACCCAUGACAAAGCAUUUUUAAGAGUAAUAGGGUUAGCUUGUUCAAGAGCAAUAGGGUAGCAGAAGCAGCCACCAUGGCAGUGAAAUGAAAAUUGAAGCAACUCCCAUUCUUGUCCUUUUUGGAUUUUUUUAGUUUAUUUCCCGAAAGAUAUGUUAUGCGCAAGAGCAUUACAGAUUUUAGAACAUGUCCGAUUACAUCGUAAAGAUUGAACUUCAAACGAAGAAGUCAAAACCAUUCAAAGUUGCUCUUACCCUUUUUUGUCUACCUGUUUCUUUGACUUCAGAGAUACUUAAGAUACCAGUAUACCAGUUAUUUGAGAAGAAGGACGGUACAACAAAAUGCAAGCCUAGUAGUGAAGCAUAAGCAUUGCAAGAUCGAAGUCUGGUUGCCCAUUUUGACUCCUGUUCUCACCUCGGUCGCCAUGAGUGGGUGAUUCAUUUAUACUCAAGCAACUGAUCAUCUCCAUUAAGCCUGAAGUUUGCAAGCCUCACAUCACCCUGGAGCAUGCCCCUGGUGAGGAGCCGCGUCGGCCGUUCCUCAGUGAUGCACGGGGUCUCCGCGUCCUUGGGCUUGAGCAAGAAUUUGAAGUCAAGUGUUUCUGCAGUAAAUUCCAUAGAUCAAAAUUGUUAGAAACAAUGCACAUGUGUGGUAGUUUACGACAACGUUUGCGAAAGUGAAUCAUACAUUUGAGCAGCCAAUUGAGGCAAACAAACCCGUGCAAAAGAAUAGUAUAUGAAAACACAAAAUCCUAAAGGUUUUUAGUUUACUGAAAGGCAACUUGAGAGUAUAACACUAAGCAGUUCAGUUUAGUUAGGCAGUAGGUAUGUAGCGUGCAUGCCAUGGUCCGGCAACACAACUAAGCUGAGCUCCCGCAUGGACGCCAGUUCCCUUUCCAUCGCGAGCUGCAAAACCAGAACCGAAUCAAUGUAAACCUAAACUGUCAAGCACGAGCGCAAGAGUAAUCAGGAGCUGGUGGCGGGUCCAUACGACGCGAGCAGGUUCUCAUGAGCAGAUGAUGGGCUCAGAGCCGUAGAUGUGCGGCACAAGGUCACCAAUGAUCCGCGCGUUCUCCAUCUUGAGCGACACAUAGAGCUGGGCACCGUCGUGCCACGACCCCGUCACGUCGCCACCUCCCUCUUCCCCGCCAACUCCGCCGCCGCCGCAGCCACCAAUCAAAUAGCAAACCCUAAGCCUAGAAUAGUAGCAGGCCCGACGUGUUAUCAGCGACAUCCAGCUCACCCCUACUCUGGCCCAACCGCAAGGCGAUGGCCCCCUUCCCCUUUCCCAACUGCAGGCGGACGACCAGGAGGGAAUCAGACGCAAGGAAAAGAAGGAAGCGGACAAGGGCGGGAGGAAAAGCACCUUUGUCACGGCGGCGAGGCAACGAUAAGAUGGAACAGCGUCGGAUCUGGUGGAAAGGGACGAAGUGGUGAGAAAGGGACGAAUGAGAAGCAGGAAGAAGAUGGAUGCACCCCUCACUCACCUCAUCCACGCCCGAGCCAACCAGCAUGUGACACGCGAAGGGUCGACACAUGAAAUCCCCACACUGCCCAUGAUGGGUUCUCAAAAUUACAUGCGGAGCCACCACACGAUCCAGCGCGGAAGCCACACACCGUGGCUAGCCUCACACACGACACCGACAGAAGUGCCCCACCAGGCAUCGCGCCCACGCGAUAGAGAUGCGUGAGCCAACGAGGAACGUCAGAAAAGGAAGGAACUGUGGAGCUGUUCGAAGCCGAAUUUUGUGCAACGGCCCAGCUCAUUCCAGGGGCAGAUCUGACGGCCCAAAUCGCAUCAAGUUCGAGAUCCGACGGUCCAAAUAGCCUAAGCUCUGAGAGAGCCCUUGUUUAGACAAGAAUAUAACGGGUAACACUCUGUAGAAGUAUAUAAAUAGAGAAGGUAAAAAGAAUGGUAUACCUUCAGGUUAGCCACAACAUCGAGCAAAAUAAUAUGAAUUAUUAUAAAUAUUUUCAUUCAUUGUAAAGAUUGGUAAGGAAUGACUCAUGUAUAGCACAAGUAUGAAUCACCAUUAUGACAAAAGGGGGAAUGGAAUGUUUGAUUAAUGAUUAUUAUAGCUAGUAUUUUCAUUCUUUGUAAAGGCUAAAAGAAUGACUCAACAUUAGAAAUAAUUACAUUAGUUGAUUAUUAUUGAUUAUCUGUAGUUAAACUCAUUUUAAAAUACAACCAAGAUGGACAAAAAAUCUCACCCCGCCUUAGGUGAAAACACUGUUCUCUAAUUGCUCAUUCCGUGACACCGUGAUCCGCUUGUCAUAUCACAAGUCGACCUGCAACCACAAAUGCAGUCAAAUAACCAAUUUAAAUUAGUGACCUACCUGAAAGAACAAAAUUGAAGCAGUCAAAAAGCUACCAUAGAUAGCUAUUUCAAAAUAACUAAAUAUGAAAGAGAAGAAAAAAAAUCCACAUGUAUGGCCUUUUAAAUGAGUCAAGUACAUCGAUGAUGCCUCUAACGAGAGAUCCUAAAACUGCAAGGGUGUGUGCAUCCACUCUAAAAUUUNNNNNNNNNNNNNNNNNNNNNNNNNNNNNNNNNNNNNNNNNNNNNNNNNNNNNNNNNNNNNNNNNNNNNNNNNNNNNNNNNNNNNNNNNNNNNNNNNNNNNNNNNNNNNNNNNNNNNNNNNNNNNNNNNNNNNNNNNNNNNNNNNNNNNNNNNNNNNNNNNNNNNNNNNNNNNNNNNNNNNNNNNNNNNNNNNNNNNNNNNNNNNNNNNNNNNNNNNNNNNNNNNNNNNNNNNNNNNNNNNNNNNNNNNNNNNNNNNNNNNNNNNNNNNNNNNNNNNNNNNNNNNNNNNNNNNNNNNNNNNNNNNNNNNNGUACUUACAAACGCAUGCAUAAAGGUUAACAGAAAGCAAGCGGAAUGGCUUGUUUACCUUAAAAUCAUCUCUUACAUAGCUUAAUAUCUACAACCCAUCUCCAAAUGAUUCAUACAGUAUUGCAAUCCUUGUCAAUUGGGCAUCGUCCUCACAUUCUUAAAUAUUUACAUAUAUGAAUUAAGCUCAGUUGGUUUGAGCACACAAGUGUAAUAUGGUUCAGUGCCUAGCAAUAUAGAACAAAAAAUGUCAAAAAGGGCAGAAUAGACUUGCAGAGAGGAUACCAACAUAACUAUAGGGAUUCCUUUUUACCAAAAGCAAAAGCAGCAAGCUUCACCUUGCUCCAUGAAAAGUAGGGCUCAUACGGGCUAGGGACUUGAUUCAUACCUACGGCAGGCUAGCCUCGAUAGGAGCGGAGACUUAUAUGUGAACCUGCAACGCGCAUUGGUGCGCCAUGCUGGUUCCUAACAUUUGUGCCUAAGCAUGUGUGCCAGGUAGAUUGUAAUUGUGAGACAAGCUUAGCAUGUUUAGCCAAUUAACAUACCCAUGAUAAAGCAUUUUUAAGAGCAAUAUCGUUAGCUUGUUCAAGAGCAAUAGGGUAGCAGAAGCAGUCACCACGGCAGUGAAAUGAAUAUUGAAGCAACUCCCAUUCUUGUCCUUUUUGGAUUGUUUAAUUUAUUUCCCUAAAGAUAUGUUAUGCGCAAGAGCAUUCCAGAUUUUAGAACAUGGCCGAUUACAUCGUAAAGAUUGAACUUCAAACGAAGAAGUCAAAACCAUUCAAAGUUGUUACUACUCUUUUUUGUCUGCCUAUUUGUUUGACUUCAGAGAUACUUAGGAUACCAGUAUACCAGUUAUUUGAGAAGAGGGAUGGUACAACAAAAUGCAAGCAUAGUAGCGAAGCAUAAGCAUUGCAAGAUCAAAGUCUGCUUGCCCAUUUUGACUCCUGUUCUCACCUCGGUCGCCAUGAGUGGGUGAUUCAUUUAUGCUCAAGCAACUGAUCAUCUCCAUUAAGCCCGAAGUUUGCAAGCCUCACAUCACCCUGGAGCAUGCCCCUGGUGAGGAGCCGCGUCAGCCGUUCCUCAGUGAUGCACGGGGUCUCCGCGUCCUUGGGCUUGAGCAAGAAUUUGAAGUCAAGUGUUUCUGCAGUAAAUUCCAUAGAUCAAAAUUGUUAGAAACAAUGCACAUGUGCGGUAGUUUACAACAGCAUUUGCGAAAGUGAACCAUACAUUUGAGCAUCCAAUUGAGGCAAACAAACCCGUGCAAAAGAAUAGUAUAUGAAAACACAAAAUCCUGAAGGUUUUCAGUUUACUGAAAGGCAACUUGAGAGUACAACACUAAGUAGUUCACUUUAGUUAGGCAGUAGGUAUGUAGCAUGCAUACCAUGGUCCGGCAACACAACUAAGCUGAGCUCCCGCAUGGACGCCAGCUCCCUUUCCACCGCGAGCUGCAAAACCAGAACCGAAUCAAUGUAAACCUAAACUAUCAAGCACGAGUGCAAGAGUAAUCAGGAGCUGGUGGCGGGUCCGUACGGCACGGGCAGGUUCUCAUGAGCCGAUGAUGGGCUCAGAGCUGUAGACGUGCGGCACGAGGUCGCCAAUGAUCCGCGCGUUCUCCAUCUUGAGCGACACGUAGAGCUGGGCGCCGCCGUGCCACGACCCCGUCACAACGCCGCCGCCUCGUCGCCGCCAAUUCCGCCACCGCCGCAGCCACCAAUCAAACUGCAAACCCUCACCCUAGAACAGUAGCAGGCCCGACGUGUUACCAGCAGUGCCAGAUAACAAAUCGAACGAAAAAAAGAGUAAGGGAGCAUGAAAGAACCUCCUCCAUUGCACGAAGACAUCAUCAGCGUCCAGCUCACCCCUACUCCGGCCCAACCACAAGACGAUGGCCCCCUUCCCCUUUCCCAACUGCAAGCGGACGACCAGGAGGGAAUCAGACGCAAGGAAAGGAAGGAAGCGACAAGGGCGGGAGGAAAAGCACCUUUGUCACGGCGGCGAGGCAACGACAAGCGGGAACAUCGUCAGAUCUGGUGGAAAGGAGCGAAGUGAAGAGAAAGGGGCGAAUGAGAAGCAGGAAGAAGAUGGAUGUACCCCUCGCUCACCUCUUCCACGCCCGAGCAAACCAGCACGUGACACGCGAAGGGUCGACACAUGAAAUCCCCACACUGCCUACGGCGGGUUCUCAAAAUUACAUGCGGAGCCACCGCACGAUCCAGCAUGGAAGCCACACACCGCGGCUAGCCUCACGCACGACGCCAACAGAAGGGCCCCACCAGGCAUCAAGCCCACGCGACAGAGAGGCGUGAGCCAACGGGGAAUGUCAGAAAAGGAAGGAAUUGUAGAGCUGUUCGAAGCCGAAUUUUAUCCAACGGCCCAGCUCAUUCCAGGGGCAGAUCUGACGGCCCUAAUCGCAUCAAGUUCGAGAUCUGACGGUCCAAAUGGCCUGAGCUCUGAGAGAGCCCAUGUUUUGACAGGAAUCUAACUAUGGGAUUUAUUGGGCACGCCAGGCGGCUGGACUGCCGUCUGAUUGUUUGAAAUUCAUAGGGACAUGCACCCGCGCAUUCUUUCACAACCGUUGAGGUGCAGAACAUUAUUGUGCUGGAAAUUUGUUGAAAAAUGAAUGACUUUUUUAAUCCUCUCAGUACGAGACAAUAUACGUGUUUAUUUUACUCCCUCCGUCCCAAAAUUCUUGUCUUGAAUUUGUCUAAAUACGGAUGUAUCAAAUCACGUUUUAGUAUUAGGUACAUCCGUAUCUAGACAAAUCUAAGACAAGAAUUUUGGGACGGAGGGAGUAUAUAAAUACGUCGUCUAGGUGUACUACUACGCCCUUGUACGUGUCAUACGCUGCAUCACUCUGUUCUGUUCUAACUGUUCUUUGCCACUGUUCAUCUUCUUCUUCCUUCCUCUCUCUUGCAAUGUGUACAUACUCUUUUUUUUCACGUCACCUGCGUUCUUCCUUUCAACCGUGUAAUCAUUUUCAUUCCCAAUUUGUUUUUCUUCUGUUUCAUUAAUUUCCUUCACCUGAUUUAAAGUCAUCAGUUCAUGCUAUUCUGUCCUUUCCCAACUUCAUCCCAUCAUUUUCCCAUGAAUUAUUCCAUACACUCCUUUUGCCUACUUUUUAGCGUCCUACGAUACACGCUAUGGUCCGUGAAAUAUCUGUUGUUAGAUUAGCCAAUUCAAUCCUUGUACGACCAAAUCUAAAAUUUUGAAACCGUUUGAUGACUUCCUUGAAAAAGUAAAAUCUUUAACACAUUUCAUUCUUUCAACUGCCCUAACAUUUGAUUUCAUUUUCACUCCUACGGUAUACUUCUAAUUCUCUCAAGUUCUUUUCCAUGAAACUUAUGACACACUAUUUUUCGUUCAGCUUUCUGAAACUUACUGUCACUGCUCGCAUGGACAUAAUAUUUUACUCGUGAGAGCAUCCCACCAGUCACCCCGAGUAACUAAACAUUUAUUUUGGGUUGCUGACUGCACCCACGUCUCAUCUACUUUGUCCCUACUCUGAUCCCCUCAUCAUCUUCUUUUCUACUGUGAUCCUUUAGAUCUACUUUCUUACGGCUCACACUCCACAUUCCUGCCACCGUUUGUCGGAAUUUGACGUCCUCGACCAUCGACAGGUACUGCAGAUAUUGUCUGUUGUUCUUUCCAUUCCACUCCAACUUCCCCCACCCAAGAAAACCCCAAUGGAGCUCGGUCUAGUUCAUGAAAUGGAGGUAAAUUACAACCAACGAUCUUUAAUCUGCUCCAAAUCAACGACCCAAUCUUAUUUCUGACUAAAUUUCCUGUUCAUGCAUUUGUAGUGCCCAGUCUGUGUAAGCACGAACUAGAAUCACUCUCGAGUAGCUAUGGAUUGAUCGGAAUUCAAUUGUUCAGGAGAGUUCAAACGAGAGGGAGGAGAUUACAGCCAAUCCUUACAAGCCAACUAUCCUAUCCAUUCUCGGCCGAAGCUGCCAGCCACCCGUUACAGAACCACUACAGCAGUAUAUAAGUAAUGACUAGCGGGCCCAUUCUGGGCCGCGCAAUCUCGCUGGAACCUGGGCUCUCCUCUUGGGCCUGGCCUGCUCUGCGCUUGCCGGAUUCUCCUGUAGCGGUUCCUGUCUUGCUGUCUCCUGUAGCGAUUCAGCUGUUGUCACUAUAGUAUCUUCAGUGCCGCUGACAAUCCCCCCUGGAGAGAAAAAGGUUUGCCCCCAAGCCGGUGCGCGUGGGAGUUGUUGCUUCAGCAUGUCCUGGUCUUCCCAAGUUGCCAAAGAACUUGGGGAAUGGCUCCACUUGACCAGAACUUGAGCCACCAUCUUGUUCCCUCGUGAAAUCAGUCGACGAUCCAGGAAACACGCCGAAACCUGCAGGUUAGCCGCUGACGAUGGAAGACCUGGCAGUACCUGUUGAUUUGGUUUGAUCUGUCGCUUGAGCAAAGAGACAUGGAACACUGGGUGAACCCUGCAGUUGUCUGGUAACUUCAGUCUGUAAGCCACCGCGCCGAUCCGCGCCAGGAUUUCAAAAGGACCAAAGUACUUGAAAGCUAACUUGUGGUUUGCGCGCGGGGCAAUAGACGACUGAAUAUACGGCUGCAUCUUGAGAAAAACCAUGUCGCCCACCUCAAAACUUCUUUCUGUCCGAUGCUUAUCGGCCUGAACUUUCAUCCGCUGCUGCAUACGUAGUAAAUGCUGCUUGACUGAUUCCAUAACGACAUGUUUGUCACGCAGCCAUUGUUGAGCGUCUGAAUUGCUGAUAGCAUCGACAGGGGAUAAACCAAAGUAACAGGGUGGAUGCCCAUAGACCAGUUCAAACGGGGUACGACCAGUCGAAGAAUGCCAGUUUGAAUUGUACCAUAAUUCACAAAGUGGAAGCCAACUGAACCAACAAUGCGGAUGAGCACUUAUAAAACAUCUGAGAUAUCCCUCCACCUGUUGAUUCACACGCUCCAUUUGCCCGUUAGUUUGAGGAUGUUGACCCGAGCUCAUGCGCAGUUUGAUACCUGUUGUUGCAUACCUCCUUCCAAAACAAGCUGGUGAAAACAGGAUCACGAUCAGAAAAUAGGGAAAUAGGAGUCCAUGGAGACGGUACACACGGUCCAAAAAUGACUCGGCCACUGUGACAGCAGUAUAAGGAUGUUUGAGAGCGAUGAAGUGUCCAUAUUUUGUCAGUUUAUCCACCACUACCAAGAUGCAAUUGUGAUGCUGUGACACUGGCAAACCUUCGAUGAAAUCCAUCGUCAUCAUCUCCCAAGGCUGUGAGGGAAUAGGUAAAGGCUGCAGUAGACCAGGGUAAGGAACUCUGUCAGGUUUGGCAAGCUGACAGAUUUAACACUGCUGUAACACCUCCUUGAUCAUCUGCUUCAUUUUCUUCCAGUGAAACAAUUGAGAAAUUCUGCGAUAAGUUACUGGAAAACCUGAGUGACCCCCAGCCAAGCUAGCGUGCAAACUGUCAGCAAUCUUACGUUGCAGUUGCUCAUUUGAUCCAAUCCACAGCCGCUUCUUGAAACGGAGUAGCCCCCCUUGCAAUGUAAAGUUAGGAACAACUGAAGGAUCAAUUGCUAGUUUCUGUAAGAUUGCUGUAACAUGAGGAUCUGACACAUAACUGUCCAUUAUUUCCUGCACCCAAGCUGGUUGCACUGCUGACAGAGCAUAUCAGUCCCCUGACAGAUGAGGGCGCCUGGAUAAUGCAUCAGCAACUUUGUUUUCUGUUCCUUUCCUGUAAAUGAUUUUGUAAUCGAGACCAAACAACUUGGUUAGAGCUUUUUGCUGCCAGGCUGUAUGCAAAUGUUGUUCUGUUAGACUGACCAAAGCUUUUUGAUCAGUGAUGAUGUUGAAUUCUUUUAGCUGAAGAUAGGAGCGCCACUGUUCAACUGCUAACAGAAUAGCUAAGAAUUCUUUUUCAUAAACCGACAGUGUCUGAUUUUUGGGUCCUAGGGCCUUGCUGACAAAUGCCACAGGGUGUCCCUCCUGAGAUAAAACGGCGCCAAUUCCACAAUUACUGGCAUCUAUCUCUAUAGUAAAAGGCUGCUGAAAAUUGGGCGAGGCCAAAACAGGGGCAGUAACUAGGGCCUGUUUCAGUGUUUGAAAUGUUGUGUCCUCAACACUGGUCCAGACAAACACAGAGCCCUUGUGUAAUAAGUUAGUCAUUGGCUUGACAAUAAUUCCAAAGUGGCGAAUGAACUUCCUAUAGUACCUAGCUAACCCUAGGAAGCUCCUGACCUCUUUCACAGAUUCAGGUUGUGGCCACUUCUCAAUUGUACUUAUUUUCUCAGGAUUAGUGGAAACUCCAUCCUUGCUGAUUAUGUGACCCAAAGUAGAGCAUCUUUUGAGAAGCAAAUUCACACUUGGAGAGUUUUACAUACCAUUUGUCUCUUCUCAAAACUGCCAAAACCCUUUUAACAUGUUCAAGGUGCUGUUUCAAUGUUUUACUAAAAAUCAGUAUGGCAUCAAAGAAUGCAAUGACAAAAUUCCUAAGCAUGUCAGGUUCUUCAGACAAGGAUACAUUAAUAGCUCCUUGAAAGGUGUUUGGAGCUCCUGUCAGACCAAAACCCACAACCAGGAACUCAAAAUGACCACGAUGAGUUUGAAAGGCUAUCUUAUAUUCUUCUCCAGGGGCUAACCUUAUUUGGUGGUAUCUUGCCCUAAGAUCCAACUUUGUAAACCAUUGUGCUCCAUGUAAUUCAUCUAGAAGUUCAUCUAUCACAGGCAUAGGGUAAUUUCCCUUGAUUGUGAGAGCAUUGAGGUGCCUGUAAUCCACCACCAACCUCCAGGUGUGGUCCUUCUUUUUAACUAGGAGAAUGGGAGAGGAAAAUGGAUUGUUACUCCUUCUGAUUACACCAAAGUCUAGCAUCUCUUGUAUCCGCUUUUCCACCUCAUCCUUAAGUUCUGGAGCUAAUCUGUAUGGUCUAUGAGAAAAUGGUCUUGCACCUGGAAUAAGUGGUAUAGAGUGAUCACAAGCUCUCUCCGGUGGUAAUCCAGUGGGAAUAGCAAAUACAUCCUUGUACUCAUCCAGCAGUUCCUGAAUUUCAGGUAAGACAGUUUGAGCAUUUUCAUCAGUAAUGACAGAUAACUCUAUGAUGGUAUAAGAAAAUUCCACAGGUGUUGCCCCUUGGAUUGUUACUGUUUUUCCAUGCAGAGGAAAUGACAUCCAUUGCUGAUCCCAGUCCACAAUCAUUGGACUGUGUUUUGCCAACCAGUCCAUUCCCAAUAUUCCAUCAUAACAACUAAGAGGCAAAAUCUUGAGAUCAUGCUCGAACUGGACACCAUGCACUGACCAAUUGCAUUUUGGAACAAACUGGAACAAUUCAUUAUCUGUCCAUUAGCCACCUUGACCUUCAUUGUUGAACAUGUCUGAACUUCUGAUAGGAGUUUAGCUGAAUCAGAAUCCAGGAAUGAGUGGGUGCUACCAGAGUCCACUAGGAAUGUUUUCUACUGUUCUUGAAUGGUAUCUGUCAACUGAAAUGCUUUACUACGAGCAGAUCUUCUUUCGGCUGCCUCAGAUAUGGCCAUUAAAUUAACUUCAUCAUCCUCGUCUGAUCCCAGUUCCUCUGAAGAUGUGCAUUGGAAGAACUCCACCAUUUCCUGCACUACAUGAAGGGACACUGUUUGUUUGCACUGAUGAUCUCGGCUCCAUUUUUCUCUGCACAUAAAACACAGUCCCUUGGCCUUAUGGUAGGAUCUAAGGGCCUCCCACUUAUCUUCUCCCAUUUUCUGUUUUUGUACCUUUGAACUGUUUCGCCUGUCGUCGGUGGUUUUGCUAGCAACUGUCUUAACCGUGGAUGCUGGGUGUGAAAAUUGUUGCCUCCUAUUCGAUUGAUGAUACUGAGGAAUCAAAUUGGUUAGGGAUUCAUGCAACAAGGCUAAUUCAUAAGCAGCAUCCAAAUCUGUCGGCUGCUGUAGUGCCACCAAAACUCUAACAGAAGGAUUCAGACCAUCGAUGAAUUUGGUGACAUAGUGCACUGAUUCAGGUACCGCUUCGUAUGCAGACAACUGAUCAUAGAGCUCAGCAAAUUGCUCCACAUAAUCCUCCACUGAACCCGUCUGAGUAAUGCUGUGGAAUUUGCGCACCAAUGCCUGAUGCUGGUUGCGCCCAAAUCUGCACUGCAAUAACCUACAGAAAUCCUCCCACGGCGCAUUUGGCACUCUACGUUGAACCGAUUCCAACCAUCGUGCUGCUGGCCCUUCGAACAAGGUAGACGCAAAUUGGACCCAGAGUUUCCAUGGUGUACAACUCAUGCUAAAGUAAUCUUCGCAUCUCGUUUGCCAGAGCGUCGGAUUUCAGCCAUCGAAGCGGGGCAGGUCGAUGCGAGGGCCAAAACCAUAUGAAUCAGAAUUUUCUCGUUGCAAAUCUGCCAAGCACGAACUGAGAACGGAGCUCUGUUCAGAUCUCGUACCUCUGGCCGGUGGCGGAACGUAAGGAACAUGAUCCUUUCCCUUGGCUGAAGUAGCUCUGUGGCUGCUCUCCGGUGCCGCGUCGGGAUUGCUGUACGCACCUUGCUUUGCCUGCGGGGGCCGUCCUGUAGGAGUCGUCGUCGGAGCGGCAGGCGGUCGAUCCAGGCCGGCGCGGAGCUCGUCCAUGUCCACACCGAUCGACAUCUUGAGGUCGUCGAUGCGCGUCGUCAGAUUCCCCAUGAUGGAGCGCAUCGACUUCGCUGUCUCUUCAUCCUGUCGCUUGAAGCGGGCAUCGAGGGAUUCCGCCAGGUCGGCCUUGAGGAAUUCGUACACCGCCUUCAUCGCCGGCGACAAGCUCUCCAUCACUUCCCAACGGUGUCUUGCUGCAAAUCUCGUCACGUGCGGGUGGUGGAGGGGAACUGGCGGCGCCAGGAUCUAGGGCUCUGAUUCCAAUUGUAAGCACGAACUAGAAUCUCUCUCGAGUAGCUACGGAUUGAUCGGAAUUCAAUUGUUCAGGAGAGUUCAAACGAGAGGGAGGAGAUUACAGCCAAUCCUUACAAGCCAACUAUCCUAUCCAUUCUUGGCCGAAGCCGCCAGCCACCCGUUACAGAACCACUACAGCAGUAUAUAAGUAAUGACUAGCGGGCCCAUUCCGGGCCGCGCAAUCUCGCUGGAACCUGCGCUCUCCUCUUGGGCCUGGCCUGCUCUGCGCUUGCCGGAUUCUCCUAUAGCGAUUCCUGUCUUGCCGUCUCCUAUAGCGAUUCAGCUGUUGUCACUGUAGUAUCUUCAGUGCCGCUGACAGUCUGUUACAACCUUAGGGGCUUGUGUGACAGUGACCACGUUUUUAGGAACAAGUGCUUCUCCUUGUUUUUUCCAGGCUACAAAGAAAGAAUGACAAGUUUCUAAUUAUUGUUCAAACCUUGUUCAUGACAUUUUUUACUUAACUUUUACUUGAUUAUAGAUUAUUGCUAGGCAUGUGGCUCAACAAGAUCUCCAAUUCAAUUACUGUUCACUCAACAAGAUGUUCACCGGACAAAAUAUAGGUCCAACUUAUGUCCAAUUCAACUUGUUGUUCCUCAUGAUUAUAGAAUUUCCCUAAUUAGGCCAACACACAUUUCCUUUCAACCCAUAAUCAUAUUUUACCAACUGCUACAUCAGUACAUACUGGUACAUUCAUUUUGUACUGCAUACCAAUUGCAUACUAACAAUUGGCCCAUUUCUAAAUUUUGGCUACAUAUCCUUCUUCCAAAUAUACUCUUUGAAGAGAAUAUUUCACUCAGAUUCACUAUACUUUCUCUACGUAUAUUGACUUCAUAUUCUUCUUUAUUUGUUUUCAUGUUUCCCAAGAAAAGAUUUCUUAAAAAGAUUAACAUUACAAAAUGUGCUUUCACUCAAGUUACAUAUCUGCUUCACACAGAACAAGGGUUCACUUUUGUUGUGGAUGUCAUCAACUCUCGAGAGAAAACCUAUUUUACUGGCAAGUCUUGGAAAUUAUUCUUCAAACUAUACCACCCCAAGUUGAUAGAGAAAUGAGACUCACUUUAGCUGGCGACGCUGAUCGAUCCGUAUCUGUCAACCUGCCGAGUCCUCCAAUUGCUAUCCAUGCACUACAAAAAAGACACAUCCGUGACAUAAUGACCCAGGCAAAAAAAUUCUGUCAUGAAUGUGACACUUCCAUGACCAUAAUUGUGACAAAAAUAUGUACAUCAUAGAUGUGGUGUGUUCCUACUUAUAUUACCAAAAAUUAUGAUAGAAAGUGGACUUUUUGUCCUGGGCGAGCAGGAGGCGCACUUGCAUGACAAUCUUUGGGCUGUCCAUGGCGUAAAAAGUCAUGGUAGAAGUGAGGGCAAGCAAAUUUUCAGGGAUUUCCCAUUAUACGGUAGGCAAUCGGACCUGAGCGAUGAAGUGGUUUGCACGUUUAUCUUGUACGCGCGCAUGUGCGAGCCCUUCGCUACCUGAACCUAAGCGAGUCGUUCGCUACUGAACCCGAGCGAUUGAUCCCUCGAACUACACUAAACCCGAGCGAUCCCUCCCUUACUGAACACGAGUGAUCAAUCCCUCUCACUACUACUGAACCCGAGCGAUUCCUUCACUGCUUACUGAACCCGAGCGAUCCCUCGUACUACGUACUGAACCUGAGUGAUCCCUUUGCUUCUUAGUGAAUCCGAUCAAUGCGAGCGAGACUCAUGCGCGUACGUAGUUUGUUGGCCCGAUCGAUCGAUGUGGUGCAUCAAGAUCUCAUGCGAGAUGUGAGUUGACCUAGCCAAUUGGUUGCCUCUUGAUGAAUAGUCCCUGUUACUGCCACGUGCGUGAUACGUAGAUCGAUUCGAGACUAGCUACCGGUUGCAUAGAUCCAACCCCUUGCACGAGACAUGUUGACCUAGCCGGUUGGUUGGUUGUGGAUGAACAUUUCCCAUUGCUGACGCCCGCUCAUACGCCCCGCCCAGCCGAUGUGGGUUGGAUGAACAAUACCCUGGCCGUGUAGGCGGUUGGCGCUGGAUGAAUAGGACCCUGAUCGAUUGAAGGGGCCGUUUUGCAGUACACCACACACCAGCCUAUGCGUGUUGGAUGAACAAGACCUAGUGGAAGGCCAGGUCAUCGGCGGUUGGCGCUGAAUGAACAGGACCCCGAUCGAUCAAGGAGGCUGUGUCGCGGUACGACACACCCCAGCCGAUUGGGGGUGGAUGAAUAAGACCCCGUGGAGGCCGUAGGCGGUGGAUGAACAAUAGUCCGUGGAGCCUUAGGAAGUUCUUAGUGCAAUAGCUUUCCCCCUUGUGUUUUGAAGAUCAUUGUCAGAAACAAGCAUGGUCUGAUUUGUUUGCUAGUGCACAUAAAGAGCUAUUGCACUAAAGAAUGUUAUGUUCGGUGUCUUCAAUGAAGAUUAUCUGCUUGGCAGAAAAGAAAGAGCUACAUUUCGAGAAGAAAUGGAAGUGAGAAGAUGGUAUUGAAGGAAUUGACCCCUUUAAAUUUACUGCUGACGUAAAGCAAUAUUCGUUCGGUUUGUCCGAAGAAGAAUGACUGCAGUCAAGAAUAUUGAAGGCAAAGUGAAGACGUAGCAUUUCUUUCAUCAUUCUUCUUUCUCUUAUUUAAGUUAUAAGACCUCUGUAAUAUUAAGAGGGAGAGAGAUAUCUGCUUCAACAGGUAGCAUUGUCUACUCAGAAGACCUUGUUUUCAGUCUAGAUUUUUCCAUAACCGACUCAAAUGGCUGAUGCAUAGGAAGAGUAGUUCAACAUACAAACUUGUCGACAAAUGGAAUACGUAAUAAAAAAAGGAUGGCAGAACAUAAUUCACAUAUAUCAUGCCUGGCUACACAGGAUUACAGUCAUUCUACUGGAGUUACCUUAAUAGGAUUAAGCUUGUGGUAAUUCCUACUUUAGAACAUGAUAUUCACUGCUUCAGUGUUAGGAAUAGCACCUCGAAAUAAUGCAUGAUUUUCCUAUGUUUCCAGUGAAGGCAAACAAUCCAAGUGGUAGAUCAUAUAAUUGUCUUCGUUAUUGGUAGUUUCCUCAAUUUAGAUAGCAAAAUGAUAUCAGUAUAAGAACCUAUUCCCUUCACUGCCUAGGCAUACUAUGCUUUACACAAUUUCCCACAAUUAUUUGUAAUGUUAUUCACGUCAUGUAUAGACUUGUGAUAAGCAUGUAGUAUUGCUUCAUCCAAAUGUACAGAUCAGUUGCAGUGCAUAAUGAUGAUGAAUUCCUGGAGCUAUGCUUCUUCAAAAAAUAUCAGAAAAUUGUAGCAAGCUUUGCAAGAGCUAUAUGAAUUCAAUUGUCCAUCUUGAUUUUGAGGGGAUAUUAACAUCGAUGACUGUAGUUACAAUUUAUAGAAUUCAUAUAGCUCUUUGUUUAGAAUUCAACAUGUUUUUAUAUUCUUACAGGGUGUUUGUAGUUACCAUUUUAUCUUGGGUCAAAUUAACCAUCAGUAUUUUCCACAAACGUUCGCGUCAUUCUGCCUACAUUGAAUAUGCGUGUGCAUGCUUGUAAUUAAACUACCUCUCAUGGUAUUUGCUCGAUAGACUCAGGUCCUUAAGUAAAUAUAAUGCAUGGAUCCUGCUUCUAUAAACUAGAAUUACACACUUAUCGCUAGGUUUAAAUAUACAUUUAAACGUAGUUUUUCUUAGUUGGCAUAAUUUAUAUUACAACAACAUAGUUUCAUAGCAUUAACAGUGCCAGUACACGUGAGGCUGUAGAAAAUAUUUCAUUAUUCUAUAAUAUUGUUGUUACUAUUACAUAUUAUUUCCUUUUCUUCACUAAAUUUUUAUGAAAUAGCUUCCGUAUAUGUAUCCUCCAUAACAAAUCGUCUCUAUGACUUACAAAACCAUAUUAAAUCAAGAAGCGUAAUAACUAGAUAAAUAAUAUUUAUAUAGGACAAAUUUUUUUCUUUUGGAUGUUUCAGAACAAAAGAUGGUGUUUCCCUACAAGCACGCGAACAAAAGGAAUUUAUCACCAAUAGUAUUACUCAAUAGUAUUACUCAGGAUAAAACAAAGGAAAUGGAUGUAUAGCAAAUGUAUCCUUUAUUUUUCAAACUAUUUACAGGAAUACAAUGCUGGAGUUGGUCUUCAUCGACAAAAACAAUUGGAUGGAGUGCACUGAAAUCGCAUCAGCUAUGCAAAGACUGACAAUUAAACCAUCAAAGAAUGUGAGAGUAUGAUGAAAGCACCAUAGCUUUUCUCAUCUUUUGUCCAUUCCUCCUAUUGGAUAAUAGAGCAUACUCCAAAGAUGGAUUAAUUUAUCUAAAGGCCAACUAACAUUGGACAUCAUGAAAAGCAAUGCCUAUCGCUGUUCUUUGCUUUUCUACACACUGCUCAUGUUUUAGCUAGCAUGAGUUAUGUUUUAGUUCUAAUAUUUGAAAAUAAAUCAAAUUUACGCUCACUUUCAAACUUCAGCGAUCCUCCUCAAGUUUCACUUACAAAAAGAUAACUAACAUUUUUGAAAUGAUUCUCAAUAUAUUAAUUUGUUCACCAUAUAUCAUUAACCAUUUCUAGAGUUUCCUAUGACUAUAAUUAAAAUGCACAUGAAAAAGUUAAAUGAAAAAAUAAUUUAAUCAAUUAUCAAGUGUGUCAGCUCCAUUUUCAGUAGCAUAUGACUUCAUUUAUUUUCAUAAAAAUUGUCUAUUAAGAAUUAAUUCCCACUCAUAUAGCUAAUAUCACAUAAUAUAAUUGACAUCAUUUUACUAAGAGUUUUGGAGUACUAAAUAUGGAUAAAACAAAUUAAAACAUAAUGAAAACAUGUUGCACCACUUCAUGCUUAUUUAAAAUAGCACAUAACACAAAUACCGAAAAAGGGUUUCCCCCCGCUUUAUAUUAUAAAGCAACAGACACCGAUCACAGGGUAACUGCCGGGGCGAAUGGCACAACAAGCCCAAAAGGGAAAAAGAAGAAGAAAUAAAAGCCAACAACGGCAGCUCGGCAAGCACAGAUGACCCGCCACCGCUGCGCCCUCCAUCUUCGUCCCACCACACGCCAUGGCACCGGACCGCCGCAUACCAAGCAGCACCUCCAAGAAGGAAUGCGACGCCAACGAUGCUGCUGCCCGGACAUGUCCUAGGGUUUCCCCCGGCAUACAGAGGGGAGCAGGGGAUGGGUAGCGCCGACGCCCUUCAGGAAGGAAUGAUGGCACCCUCAGGUGUCACCGCGUCGGAGCCGGAUGAACCGGCAGAGAUUUCUCCUGCAUCCCCAAGCACCGCUACCCACUCGAACCGGGGCCAUCCAACCACCUUGCCACCCGCAAGCACGCGCCACCACGGUCUUGGACACAACCACGCGGCCCCGCUGCGAACACCACCACGAGGCCAAGGAGACCGGAAAGAAGCGCCAAGCAACAGGAGGAACCACACCGAAGCCAAGCGGGAGGGAACCACCUCCCCCGCCGACGUGCGGGAGGACCGAGCCCCCGACGACGUCGUGGUCACCGUCCGGACGUGGCAGCAGGGCACACCAGGUCACCCCUGCCCCGGCCAGGCCUGCAAUGGCCCCACAAAGCCCCGCCAUCCAUGCUGCAGCAAGCCGGCACCUGCGCCGCCCGCUCCCAGCCGCCAACGCUGCUCUCCUGCCUCUUGGAGGCCACGCUGCCGGCCCGUCCCGUCGCCGGCCCGCCCAGACCCAGAUGGGGCCCGAAGGGCCUAGAUCUGGGCCGAGCGGGCUGGUUCAAGCCGCGCCGCAGCGCCACCCCGCCGCCAACGGUGACGCCAUCGCCUAGUCGUCCACCCACGUCGCGCCAGGAUCUCCGCCGCCACAUCGGACCGCCACCGCUGAAGAGCACCUCCCGGUGCACACCGCCCCGCGCCGGGGAGCACCGAGAGGGGAAGGGCUGGAGGCCGCCGCCGCCAGCGACCCAGGGGCCAGGCCCGACCGCGGGUGCCAGCGACGGCGGCGGGGAGGUAGGGAAGGGGGCUCUAGAGGAGGGGCCACCGGAGCGCAGCCGGUCGCCCGCGGGGACGACGCGGUCGCGCGAGAGAAGGGGGACCUAUAUACGUACUUGCUCGUGUCUCCACCUUCCAUAACACAAAUAUAACAAGGAAAAUUGUUUCCAUCCAGCUAAUCUAACCAUUGACCUAACCUACCAAAUGAACCAUACUAGAUUGGCGCAAAAAGGACCAGCCGGUUCAGUUCAAACCGUGCGAAAUGAGACCAAAGGGCCGACCGUUGGACACAGUGGCGCCGCAGUAGCACGUCGGAGCUCAUUCGAACAUGCGGGAGCAUGUAAGGCGAGGAAAUGCGGGGUGUGCGGCUAGAUGGGCCACAAUAAACUCCAAUUGUGAGAUCCCAAUGUAGUUUUCUCUUCUAAUUAUACAUACCCAUAUCUUAUAAUUUUUUCAGGGAUUAUAUUUUGUGUGGAUUCAAAUGAUAAAAUAAUUGGCUACUCUCUGCCCAAGCAUUUAACUUUUGCAAGGAAGUUGAUGGUGGAUAAUAUUCUUAGAGAACUUGACACACACCACCACCUACAAAGGGUACAUAAAGACUUAGUGUUUCAGUAAAAAGAUGAGUACAUAUUUUCGUAUGUGUUUACUCCAUCCAACUACCUAUAUUUCAUCAAUUGGCCAAGCUAAUUUGACCACAAAAAAAUAUCUGUUUUCAAGCAUCACAAUGACAAGAUAUAUAAAUUGAAAAAACAUUUGGAAAUAGAAAUCUGUUGAAAUAAUUUAUGAUAAUAUUAAUGGAGGGCUUAAAGAGGUUGAUAUGUGUGUAUUUAUUUAUUAUUCUUUAACCAUUCAAGUAUAUUUAUAUGGAGUUAGAGACUCAUUAUUAAACUUUGUAAAGUCCUAGCCGGCGCAUCGAGCGGGCCACUUUGCUAGUUAUUAACUAAUGACAGUAUAAAAACAUGUACCUCCAAGGUAAAUAUCAUUUCGAACUCUUGGGGACCUUAAAAAUUGCUAUCACAAUCUUGAUAAUCAAUCAAACAUAAAAACUUGAUCGAACGAAUCAAGAGAACAAACGGAGGAGGAGGUGCCCACUCUUGACCUUUCCUCUUGUCUUCAUAAUUUGUUUUGCAGUUUAACCAAAUUAAAAUGACAUCAGCGCCUUGGCAUUUUGGUGACACUGUACAAAAAAAUUAACUUAUCUCAUGAAAGUGAGGUAUGUAAUCUAUAAGCAUUAACAGUGCAAAAAUCUGAAGGUAGUAACAAGUUUCAUCGUUGGUAUACUGGCUAUGCAAGAGCAUUAGAAUGCCUUAGCUGAAAAAUCUUUAAUACAUCCACAAUCAACAGCUAACCCUGAAAUAAUCCAGUGACAUUAAAUGGCAUUGCUUAAAUUUAUCGGUGGCAUUAGACUAAGUGCAGCAUUAGUUAAAUGUGGCAUCACUUUAGCAGUAGCAUUGCUUGACUUGACUGCUGGCGUUAUACUAACAGCAAAAAAGUGGCAAUAAGAGCAUGGGAGGCCCAUUCGAACAGUGGGCACACCAGUACGAUGUACCUCCACGGACGCAGAGUGGUGAGGAAGGUAUAGUUGCCCAGAGCAACAAAUAUCCAGGCAGCAUAUGUGAUUACUUCCCAUUUUUGUUCUCUUUAGCCACCUUUUUCCUAUGUGAGGACAACAAACCGAUCGGCCUGGUCAUUCUCUAUUGCAUUGUCAUGCCUUUCUACCCUUCUUCAACCAAGAGACACGAGACUUGUUCCUUAGCUACUGAUUUCCCCUUUUCAACCUACAUGCGGGUUCGAUGCCUACUCUCUUGGACAAUACAGUUGUUGGUGUGAAAACCGGCGGAUCUCGGGUAGGGGGUCCCGAUCUGUGCGUCAAGGCUGAUGAUAACAGGAAGCAAGGGACAUAGAUGUUUACCCAGGUACAAGAGUAGAUCUACCACGAGAUCAUAGAGGCUAAACCCUAAGAGCUAGCCUAUGAUGGUAUGAUUGUAAUUGUGAUCGGCCUUCUAAGGACCAACCUCUCUGGUUUAUAUAGACACCGGAGAGGGCUAGGGUUUACAUGGAGUCGGUUACAAGGAAGGAAACACAAUAUCCGAAUCGCCAAGCUUGCCUUCCACGCCAAGGAGAGUCCCAUCCGGACACGGGCCGAAGUCUUGAGUCUUGUAUCUUCACGCUUCAAUAGUCCGGACGUUCUACACACUCCGGCUGUCCGGAUACCCCCUAAUCCAGGACUCCCUCAAUAGCCCCUGAACCAGGCUUCAAUGACGAUGAGUCCGGCGCGCAGCAUUGUCUUCGGCAUUGCAAGGCAGUUUCCUUCUUCGAAUACUCCAAAGUACCUGUUACAAUGAAUAAUGUCCGACCUCCAAUCAAUGUUGUGCUCCUCGGCUUCAGUGCCUCAAUAAUGGACACCUCCACGUGUUGAGCGAAUGCGAGGAGCCAAGGCGCUUUUGCAUUUGACACCCUCGAUCCUCCGAGCUGACCGCCUAUUUGAAGGGACAGGGAUUCUCAGAUCCAAACCUCACUCUCUUCCCUUGAGCUAGCAUCCCGUAGAGCGCUCCGCAAAAAACCAUUCCAACAUGGCCAGCCGUCGCAGCUCUUCUGCUUGCCCUCCUUGCUCUAAGUCGGGAGAUUGGGGAGAGUGUUCGGUUCCUCAUAGCCGUUUGAUAAAGUUACAAACCCAAGGGUUUCUCCCACCGGCGUUCAUGGUCUCUGUUCGAGCCGGAAUAGCCACUUAUGACGGAGGGGAACAAGCGGAGGGAUCUCCAAGCCCAUCCCCAGAGGAGCGCGUAUGCCUCAUCCAGCAUCUGCUAAGGGGCGUCGGGUUUCCUAUCCACCCGUUUCUUCGCGGGCUCCUGGAGUUCUAUGGCCUCCAGUUGCACAAUCUUACCCCUGCCUCUAUUCUGCACAUAGCGGGGUAUGUCGCACUUUGCGAGCUGUUUUAGGCUGCGAACCUCACUUUAGAUUAUGGAGGAAGCUGUUCUGCCUUGUUCCCCGCACCCAGGGAGAGUCCCUAUAUCAAGUGGGCAGGGCUGAAGUAUGGCGCAUUGCCGAAACCGGACACCUAUCCGGCACUCCCAAGAAGGCACCAGAAGACUGGCCUUUAGAGUGGUUUUAUAUUGAUGACGUUCCCCUUCCGGAUCCAGUCCGGACUGGUCUCCCCAAGUUCAGCAACGCCCCGCCGAGGGCACGCCUAAGUUGGCGCCCCCACGGCCCUCAAGAAGAGGAUACAAGGGAAAUACAUUUCCUGAUGAGCAGGAUAAAGUUGAUGGCCAAAUCCGGACUGACAAUAGUCGAGGUUAUGGCGAUAUGCAUAAGGCGAGGAGUGCAACCGCUUCAAUAUCAGGGGAAGCCCAUGUGGCACUUCAACGGGGAAGACGACGCCACCUGUCGGUGUCAAAACCGGCGGAUCUCGGGUAGGGGGUCCCGAACUAUGCGUCUAGGCGGAUGGUAACAGGAGACAAGGGACACGAUGUUUUUACCCAGGUUCGGGCCCUCUCGGUGGAGGUAAAACCCUACUCCUGCUUGAUUAAUAUUGAUGAUAUGGGUAGUACAAGAGUAGAUCUACCACGAGAUCAAGGAGGCUAAACCCUAGAAGCUAGCCUAUGGUAUGAUUGUUGUUCGUCCUACGGACUAAAACCCUCCAGUUUAUAUAGACACCGGAGAGAGCUAGGGUUACACAGAGUCGGUUACAAUGGUAGGAGAUCUACAUAUCCGUAUCGCCAAGCUUGCCUUCCACGCCAAGGAAAGUCCCAUCCGGACACGGGACGAAGUCUUCAAUCUUGUAUCUUCAUAGUCUUGGAGUCCGGCCAAUGAUGAUAGUCCGGCUAUCCGGACACCCCCUAGUCCAGGACUCCCUCAGUAGCCCCCGAACCAGGCUUCAAUGGAGACGACUUCGGCGCGCAUAUUGUCUUCGGCAUUGCAAGGCGGGAUCUCCUCCAAAUUCCAUGUGCUUGCCGAAUGGUGUCCGGCUUCUUAUAAAUGCUGCGCUUCUUGGCUUCCACGUCCAAUAAUGGCCCUCCUCCACGUGUCGUACGAAUGCGAAAAGGCAGGGUAUUUUUACACUUUACCCCCUAGCUGCGUGAAAAGCUGCCUAUAAAGAGAGGCGAGGAUUUAGAUCCGAAUCACACCAUCCUCCUUCCGCGAGUAUUCAUCGAAGCGCCUCUGACAAAAAUCCACUCCAUCAUGGACAGUCGACGCGGCUCCUCCUCUCGCGCUCCCAGCCCUCAGCCAGGAGAUUGGGGGAGAUGUUCAGUCCCGCAUAGCGAGCUAGUGACUCUUCAAGCAGAGGGAUUUUUUCCCCCAGCCUUUAUGGUUCUGGUUCGAGCCGGACUUGCCACCUACAAGGGCGGAAAGCAGGCGGAGAGCGUCCCCAAUCCCUCCAAAGGAGAGCGGGUAUGCUUCGUCCCUUAUCUAAUAAGGGGCCUCGGAUUUCCCAUACAUCCGUUUCUCCGGGGGCUCCUGGAGUUCUAUGGGCUCCAGCUUCACCACCUUACGCCUGCCUCCAUCCUGCACAUCGCGGGCUUCGUGGCCCUUUGUGAGCUGUUCUUGGGCGUCGAGGCCCAUUUUGCGCUGUGGAAGAGAUUGUUUUGCCUCGUACUCCGUUCUAAUGAGGGGUCAAUAUAUCAAGUGGGCGGAGCCAAAAUAUGGCGCAUCGCCGGGACCGGAUAUCUAUCCGGAACCUCGAAGAAGGCGUCCGAAGACUGGCCUUCAGAAUGGUUUUAUAUGGAGGACGCCCCACUACCGGACCCAGUACGGAUCGGCCUCCCGGAGUUCAGCAACGCUCCUCUAAAGAAACGCCUGAGUUGGCGCCCGCGGAGCCCUCAACGGGAGAAUGAUAGGGACGUCCAAUAUCUGAUGGGCCGAAUAAGGUUAUUGGCUCAUUCCGGAUUGACCAUGAUUGGGGUCAUGGACACAUGCAUUAUGCGGGGGGUGCAGCCGCUCCAGUAUAGGGGCCACCCCAUGUGGGAUUUCAACAGGGAGGAUGAUGCCACCCGCCAUGGCCGCAAGGGGACGGGAUCAGUCGCCGAUCUGGUGAAGAUACUGUCCGGCCUGUACAAAGGGGAGAAGGAGGACUUCCUCCGUGCUAGUCCAUUGAAUGGAUUUUCCAUGAAUAACCCUCGGAGCUGGGUAAGCGGACGUUUAUCUAUCCGAUCCAUAUUCCCAAAGUUAAGUGUCUCACUUUGUGAUUUCGACGCAGGAACUGCGCCGGGCCGUAGAGGACAUACACAGCCCGACUCCACAGCCCGAGGAUCCGGAACGAUCCCUUGAUCUGGCCUCCGAAGAGGAUCCGGACAUAAAGGUGGAGCUGAUCGAUGGGGUGUUCCACCAACUUAGCAUUGACAAUGCUUUGGUCGCCAUUACGGCCGACUACCCCGGAAUAUCUCCGGUUUCCCAGGUAACUGUGACCGGAGUCCUGAUAACAUUACUCAUCCAUGCUUAUCUCUAACCACUGUAUACCAACGGUGUUCCGCAGGAGGUGCCUUCGAGGCGGGAAGCCGAACCCGCGGCGGCUGGCCAACAAGGGGCAACUCGGGCCAGCAGGCGGAAAAGAAGUGCGGCGCGAAUCGAAACAUCGCCGCAACAGUAUGGCGUGCCACCAUGUUUCCAGGAAAGAUUCAUGGAAGGCCUAUUAACACUCGUGGUUUUUUCAGGAGAAAGAGCGCUCGCCGGACUGUGUCCGGAGAGAUUGCCAAUCAAGCCUCCGCCGGCCAGGCUCCAACGCCAGGUCCGGAGGGGGAGGCGAACGCAAGGCGCGCGUCGGGUGCUCCUCCAAUGGAGGAUACCGACAGGUUGUCCACCACCCAAUCUGAGGUGGAGAGCGCCAUGAAUCACCGGCGCCGCCGGACAGUUCUUCGCGACACCUGCUUCUCCCCGGAGGCGUUAAAUGCCUUUAAUUCGGGAGAAGCGCACCUCCGUGCUGCUCGAGAUGGUCUAGCCAAAGCCACGGAGCAGUAUUUGAAAGACAUACGGGUGAGGAAUUUUGACAGUUAUAUAUGCCAGUAGCCCCCGAGACUUAAAAUAGUUAGAAUAACUGAUUUAAGGAUCAUUUGUUAUUUAGGAUCUUACAGAGAAGAAUACCCACCUGUCCCAGGAGCUUCAAGAGUGCAAGGCCCAACUUGAGGCCGCACUAGCCGCCACAGGGGGAGCCACAGAGACUCCCUCUGGUAAGAUAUACUUCGAAAGAUAAGUAGUUUGUGAAGUGUGGCGUGUGUAUAAGUCUGACAAUAAUAUUGCAGAUGGCGCCGGACUAGAUCCGGACAAGCAACAGCUACUACGCCAGCUGAAGGCCGGCAAGAAGGUGCUUACAAGGGUGCAGCAAGAGAGGAAUAAGCUCCAGGAUGCCAACACCCAGCUGGGCGAGGAACUAAAAGAUGUUCGGGCCCAGCUAUCUGACUCCAUGAAGGAGAAUCGGCGGCUUCGUCACGGCAUUUAUAGUAAGUGCUUGAGCAAACUUUUGAAAAAAAGAGUUCGGCGAGGAAGUCGAUUGACAGAAAUAUGUCUGUAGGCGUGCUCAUGGGUCGUCCUGCGGAGGAAAUGCCCGGUUCAACUGGUGACCUACUUCCCGAGCUGCUGCAACUGCACGAACUAGUUCGGCAGGUGAUGAGCGGCGUCGCCCAGGCCUUGUGGCCAUCCGUGUCCCUACCCGAAGGUCUUGGAGAGCUUGCGGAGAAGCUUCAGGGAGCACGGCGGCGCUUCUGGUUGUGGAAGAUAUCGGCCUGCCAUCAAGGCGCCAGGGAGGCCUGGGCCAUGGUGAAGACACGGUAUGCAAAGGCUGACCCAAACCACAUGGCCGAGGUCAGACCUGUGGGGCCCGAUGGGAAGGAGAUCCCUGUGAGCUUAGUGUACGACCAAGUAGAGUUGGCCGCAAAGUAUUCACAGCGGGACUGUAAACUAGACAGUUUAUUAGAUGGUAUCGAAGAGGAAUACCAUCAGUCAGCUUGACUGUGUAAUUUAAAAUGACAUGAAAAAUGCCUUCUAGCCGGAUUGUAGAUCGUUUGUCAUUGCGGACCUUUUCGCUUCAACCUCGGGACCCGAUAGUCCGGAGUGUGUCCGAAUACCCUCACGGUUAUUAAAAAACCGGGGCAUGCAUGGAGACCAGGCGUAGGGGUCAUUAGUGCUUUAUCAGACAAGUGCCCAACUAGUUAUGUUAUAUUACAUGGUUAGUAAGAAACAUCUUCCAGGGAGAAUAGUUCCAUUAGGGGUUCCUUUCCCUGGGAGGCAUGCUCUAAAGUGCAUGUCCGGACUGCGAAAAAAGCAGAAAAGCAUCUGGGGGCAGAUAAAUAAAUAGUUAAGAAAUCAUCUUUCAAUUCACCGACCGAAUAUUCCCUUAAGAACGCUAGCUUUCGGCUUCACCCAGUCUGAGGUACACAUCCGGCUGACCCGGCAGUAACAAUCGCAGAGGUGCUCCCUUUACCUCCUAGCCGAACAAUCGGGAACGUAGGGGUAAGCACAGGAGCCAGGCAACCCAGCUUGGCCAAAACUUAAGUCAUAUCGAUGCAUAUAAUGGUGAAUAAAAGGUACAUGCGGAAGUGUAACACAUGUAUUGGGUAUAAAUCCCGUAUAAAUAAGCUUUUGUUAAAGAAGCCCCCAGGUAUAAUGAGUGCGAAUAGCACGUCAAGUGUGUGCGAACAAUGCGCAGGCGAGCCACCGAAGGCCCGUGAGAGAAGAAGAAAAAAAGAAAAAGGGGGGAGAAAAAUAAUAGAUAGUUAAAGUAUAAAAUGUAGACGGGGGAGGGAGACGAACUCAGAAUCCGGCGCUAGGUGUAGAAUCUACGGAGACGGGCUGCAUUCCAUGGAUUUGGCUCGAGUCGGUUGUCCGAUGCGUUUCGCAGACGGUAUGCUCCGCCGGUCAGGACUUGGUCAAUGAUGAAGGGACCUUCCCAUUUGGGCUUGAGCUUGUCCUUUUUCUUGUCCGGCAGGCGUAGAACUAGUUCACCAACAUUGUAAGUUUUGGCCCGUACUUCUCUGCUUUGAUAUCUUCGAGCCUGCUGUUGAUAGAAUGCGGAACGAUCUUUUGCCACGUCACACUCCUCCUCUAAGGCGUCCAAACUGACCUGUCGAUCCAGCUCGUCUUCUCUUUCUUCGUACAUGCGCACGCGAGGUGAGUCAUGAAUUAUGUCGCAGGGCAAAACUUCCUCUGUGCCGUAUACCAUGAAAAAUGGUGUGAAUCCGGUAGUCCGGUUUGGCGUGGUCCGCAGCCCCCAGAGUACGGAGUCGAGCUCCUCUACCCAGUGCGUGUUGGAUUCCUUAAGGGACCACACUAGUCUGGGUUUGAUGUCGCUCAUGAUUAGACCGUUUGCUCGUUCGACUUGACCGUUAGUUUGAGGGUGAUAGACUGAAGCGUAGUCGAGCUUGAUGCCCAUGUUUUUGCACCAGAGUUUGACCUCGUCGGCCGUGAAGUUCAUGCCGUUAUCAGUGAUGAUGCUAUGGGGGACGCCAUAACGGUGUACUACCCCUGAUAUGAAGUCUAUCACGGUUCCGGAUUAUGCCGUCUUAACUGGCUUGGCCUCUAUCCAUUUGGUGAAUUUAUCCACCAUGACCAAUAGGUAUUUUUGCUUGUGGGUUCCUCCUUUAAGGGGUCCAACCAUGUCAAGCCCCCAGACCGCGAACGGCCAGGUGAUGGGUAUAGUUUUCAGGGCGGUGGGAGGCAUGUGGCUUUGAUUAGCAAAGAGCUGGCAACCGACGCAUCGUUGGACUAAAUCCUGAGCGUCUGCCCGGGCCGUUGGCCAAUAAAAUCCUGUACGGUAGGCCUUGCUUAUAAGGGCCCGGGCUACGACGUGGUGCCCACCGAGUCCGACAUGAAUUUUCGCCAGAAGAUUUCGCCCUUCCUCUUCGGAGAUACACCUUUGAAGGACUCCGGUUAUGCUUUUCUUAUAGAGCUCUCCCUCAUGGACCUUAUAGGCUUUAGAUCGCCGUACUAUGCAGUGGGCCUCGUUUUGGUCCUCGGGAAGUUCCUGCCUAGUUAAGUAAGCUAGGAACGGCUUGGUCCACGGGGCAAUGACUGCCAUUAUUUCGUGGGAUGAAGUUGUUAUUUCAUUGGCAGAACCACCAAUUGUGUCAGAAUGUGUGGUGUCCGGCGGUGCGGUUGGGUCCGGAUUGUUGUUUCCGGACUCCCCUUCCCAUAGUACGGAUGGCUUGAAAAGCCGUUCCAGAAAGAUGUUGGGAGGGACGGCAUCGCGCUUUGCAUCGAUGUGUGCCAAUACGUCCGCCGCUUGAUUAUUAUCCCGGGCUAUAUGGUGAAAUUCGAGCCCUUCAAACCGAGCUGACAUUUUUAGAACGGCGUUGCCGUAAGCUGCCAUUUUCGGAUCCUUGGCGUCGAAGUCUCCAUUUAUUUGAGAUAUCGCGAGGUUCGAAUCCCGCCGCACCUCUAGGCGUUUAAUGCCCAUGGAGACCACCAUCCGGAGGACAUGUAGAAGGGCCUCGUAUUCGGCUGCGUUGUUGGAGUCCGUGUACAUUAUCUGGAGUACGUAUUGGACCGUGUCUCCGGUUGGGGACGUCAGGACGAUGCCAGCCCCCAGGUGUAACAUCCCAAAUUUUCAAUUUGGAAUGUUAUACAUAGAUCAUCAUUGCAUAUCAUAUUUUUGUUGCAUUGUUGGCUCGAUCCUAGAAAUUCUACGCAACUCAAUGACCCACAGAGAGAGUUGGGGAUUUCGUUAUUUUCCUUAUUUGAGUAUUUCUCAAAUUUUGAAAAUAGGAUCAUUGAUUUUAUUUAUUUUAUCUUCAAUUAUUUCUACUACCAAAAAUUCAGAGAGGGAAUAAAAUGACUUUCCCAAAAUAAAGAAAUAAUGAAGAUUUAAUAAAAAAUCAAAUAAGAUUUAUUUUGGAGUUUUUCGCUUUUUAUUUGAAUUUAGGAAAAAUGCGCGUUUUUCAAAAUUGCAUUUAGGCCCCAUAUAAAUGUUCGUCUAGUCCGGCUUGAUUUUAGAAGCCGGGGAAAAUUAAUUUCGGGAUUUUUGGAGUCCGUUUAGUAUUUCUUUUUAUUUUUUUACCGAGCGUAAUUAUUUAAAAAAACGCGCACCGACCUACGGGUCGUGCCCGAGCGGGACUCCGCCCGGGGGCGCCUUUAUAUAGCGCCGCCCCGAGCGCCCAGCCCACCUGAGCCCACCCCGCGCCCUAACCCUAGCCGCCGCCGCCGCCAGCCGCCGCCGCCGCCGCCGGAGUUGCACGCCGCCCGAGGUUCGCCGCUGCCUCGAAAUCCGUGCCAAAAAUAUUUUUUUUAAAAAUAUAUAUAUAUUUUUUUCGUCAGUUUUAUUUUCGAUAUUUUUUUUAUUUUAUUAUUUUAUUUAUUUUUGGAUUAGGAUAAUGAACGAUUAAUUCGUUCGUCGUUUUUCUUUUUCGUCGGAUUUUCCGCGGUUAUUUUCUGAUCGCGAUUUCUGAUCCGAUUUUCAUUUUAGUAUAACUUUUCUCUCGUUUAUCGGAAUCAGGCGAUUCAAGCGCCUGGAGUUUCGUCUCGAAACCCUCUUUCCAAAUAAUCUACUUAAACAAGUUUUUGCUUCUCUAAAAUUUGACUUAGAUCCAUAUUAGUAAAACGAAGCUGAUUUCUUUCGCCGUUUGACUUUCGUUGCUUUAUUUGAUUUGAUUCUUUUUGCAAACCGGAGUUCUUAAGUUGAACAUUCUGGUUGGAUCUUUUAUUCGAGUUUUACCUGUGCAUUAGAUGAGUAUUUCUUGUAUGCUUGUUUGUUUGUCUGCGAUAGAAUACCCGGAGUGCGCCGCCUGUUACUUCGAGUCUCUAGGUUUCGCGGAUCAUCAGCAAGGCAAGUAACACUUGAUCAUACCUUUCUACUACCCAGUUUUUAUGCAUUAGUUCUAUCCUCAAACAUUGCAUGAUUAGGAUCUAAUUAAAUUGUGGGAUGGGAAGUAGAUGAGGUAGUACCUAUUACCUGUUUUAUUAUCAAACCUUUGGGAGUUACUUCUACGUUUGUUUAUUAUGCCAUGCUAUGCUAGUAGACGUGGAUUGGGUGAGUGAAUAUCCAUGACAGAUGUGAGAUUGUUAAUUAAUGGUUUAUUUAAGGUGGCAACUUGAAUACACAUCUGGGUGGAUUGAGGCACCUGUUUUCUAGCAGGACUUGCCUGUAUUUCUUCGGACCGUCACCCAGGCUCAAAGGGAUCAUGAGAUUAUUCAAACUAGAAACUUACGUGUGCAGCCACAAGCCAUUAUGGGCUCUGGCAUAGUUGACUAAGUUGUGCAAACUCUUACGGGUAGACUAGCAGAUGUAGGGGAAAGUAGGUGUACCGGUCUACCCACAUGUAAGGUGCUAGUGCUUCCGAAAGACUAUGUCUCGGUCAUCCGUUUCUCAAACAUCAUGUAGUGCGAGGAAUCAAACGGAGGCGAUCGAGUCUUGUGGGAAAAGUGCGCAAACCUCUGCAGAGUGUAUAAACUAAUCAUGGUUAGCCGUGUCCCCGGUUAUGGACAUCUUGAGUAUCUAGUACUUGAUUAUCAUGUGAAUCUCAUCAUGUUACUUUAAUUAAUAUUGUUGGGUUUUAAUGAGUACUUUUUAAUUGGGAUUGAGAAUGUUGUCAACCAUUCUCAAUGUUUAACAACCACCAUGAUAGUUAAAUAACUUUAUUCCUUUGCAGUAGGGAAAAAUUGGCUUUAUGCAAAAACUGUAACCAUAGAGCUUUACCACCAGCCAAAUAUGCAUGUAGUAUAGCCUAUCUCCAUUGUUAUUCUCUAUGUGUUACAUUGCUAGCAUAUUCCAUCUGCUGACCCGUUUUCGGGCUGCAACAUUUCAUGUUGCAGACUUUUCAGACGACGAGUAAGGUGUUGUUAGGUCGUGGUUCUAUACUCAGUGAUGCCGUUGUAGUUGAUGGACUCGCUUAUCUUCCAAGCCUUCCACUGUUAUCGUUUUAGAUGGCCUUAAGCCAUAUUUAUUUCAAUAAGUUCUCUUUUGAGACAUUCGAUGUAAUAAGUGUGUGAUUGCUACUCUGUUAUAAAUCCUCCAAGUACUGUGUGGUGUCAGCAUUACUGAUCCAGGGAUGACACUGAGCACAGAGAUCAGACUGUUUGAGGUCUGGUCGCUACAAGGUGGUAUCAGAGCACACGCUGACUGUAGGACACGACCACUAAGGUUAAACCCUAGAUCACUACUCUUUCUUCUCAUUUCUGACUCCUCAUCUUUUCUAUUCUUUAGGAUGGCGGACGCAAGGAUCAAGUUCGCGCAACCAGAUGAGAAUUCACCUUUUGGAUGUCACUUGGAGGAAGCCGCUAGAUACUUGAACAUAGGAGUACCAAGCUUCACUGGGACUUUCAACGCCACUUUACCCGAAGAGGAGCACUGGAGGAUUCAAGUCUACAUUCUAGGAAGGACGUUUGCACCAGUCACGGAACCAAUAGAAUUUACCUUUGAUGUACCAACAUGGGGCCUAGGAAAGAGCAUGACAGCUCACAUCGCCAUGGGACGAAUUGGAGAAGUUUACCACAACGAUCUCAAGAAUACUAUCUACCAGAUUUGUGGGCGCCGAGAUGAGCAUUGGGAGAUGAUCACCACCAGGAGGGACAGAUCAAUCGCAGCUUAUAUUCAGGAGUUAAACCAACACAUCCGACGCCAGGAGAACCAGAUGUGCACAGAUAUGGAGGAGCUACAGAAGGCUAUGACCAGGAUUAAGGAGCUAGAAGCAGAACUCAAGGCUACACGUAAAGACUAUAUGGAAGAAAUCGUCGCUCUAGUAAGACAGAAUGGUGACCUUAAGGAGAAGAUUGGAGUAUUCAUGGGAGGUUCAGCACCCAGAGGAGAAGAUGAUGAACCUACAUGUCCAGAUAAUUAUAUCAUCAUCGACGACACCGACUCAGAUCCCGACGACAGCGAUGAUGACUAUGUUGAUGAAGCUGGAGCAGAUAUCAUGGAAUCUGCAUCGGAUCAGUUUUUCUAGUUGACCACCAUAACAGUAGUAGAAUUUUCCACCAUUUAACUAGUUUUAGUCCAAGCACUUUUGUAACGAUAGUUAGACCGUUGUAUGCCCUUGUUUGAAUUGAUUGGAAUGAUAUUGUGUGUUUGUCUCAUGUGCAUAUGGGUAGUGUAUUCUCACUAGACCUCAUUCUAUUCUUAACUCUCCCCUUUAAACCCUCAGAUGCCUCUGAGACGCGACCCCGAGUUUGUUUUCCCGCCAGAGAUCACCCAGUUGAUUCAGCAACAGAAUACCUUGAUUCAAACAUUGGUACAGAACCAAUGCAACAACAACAACAACCCACCACCACCACCACAUGUUGACCAUCUGGCACGUUUCUUAAGGUUGAAUCUGCCGGUGUUUUCCAGUAGCACCGAGCCGAUAGUAGCAGAUGAUUGGCUCCGUAAGAUAGGGAGGGAGUUGACCACUGCAGGAUGCACAGAUGGAGAGAAGGUGAAGUUUGCCGCGCAUCAGCUUGACGGACCCGCAGCAGCAUGGUGGGAGAAUUUUAUAGCCACUUACCUUGUAGACACUGUCACAUGGAAUCAGUUUCAGCAAGCUUUUCGUACUGCCCAUGUUUCAGCAGGAGCUAUGGCCAUGAAGAAGCGUGAGUUUUGCAACUUACGCCAAGGAGGACGGACUGUUGGCCAGUAUGUGGAUGAUUUUAGUAAGCUAGCACGUUAUGCCCCAGAUGACGUUGCUACGGAUGCAGCUAAGCAGGAGAAGUUUCUAGAAGGCCUGAAUGAUGAGCUGAGCAUGCAGUUGAUGGUAGCCACUUUCAAUAACUACCAGGAGUUAGUAGAUCGUGCUCUUAUGAUUGAAGGGAAGCAGCAGCAGAUUGAUAAUCGUAAGAGGAAGUAUGCCCAGGGGAAGUAUAAUUUUGGAGCUCAGCAGAAGCCACGCUUUACCCCAAAUUCAGGAGGACAUUUUCAGCAUACUCAUGGAGGAGGCAGCUCGCACAAUCACAAUGGCACAGAGAAUGGAAACGGGAAUGGAGGAAGCAAUGGACAAAGCCGCACCAACCCGUCAACACCAACCAAGGUAGACCUGAGCCAUAUCACCUGUUAUAAGUGCCGCAAGAUGGGGCAUUAUGCAAAUGAUUGCCCAGAAGCCCAAAAUGGAAAUGGUAAUGGAAGCUCCGGAAAGAAGUCGAACCCUUUCAACAAGGGGCAAGUGAACCACGUUACCGUGGAGGAGGUUGAAGCUCAGCCAGAUGCAGUAAUAGGUAAGUUUUUGGUUAAGACAUUUACUGCAAUUGUUCUUUUCAAUACUGGAGCAUCGCAUUCAUACAUAUCAAGGGGAUUUGUGAAUAAGUUUAGCCUGCCUACUAAGACUCUUAAGACACCCAUGCUAGUAAGUUCACUGGGAGCUGAGUUUAUGGUCAGUCAAGGAUGCUUCCAGGUGCCGUUGAGUAUAGGAAGGCAUGUUUUCCCCACGGAUUUGAUUAUAUUGGAAUCCCAAGGAUUGGAUGUAAUUCUUGGUAUGGAUUGGCUGUCGAUGUAUGGAGGAAACAUUGAUUGCGCCAGUAAGACAAUUUUGCUUACAACACCAGAAGGGAUAAGGACCAAGUAUGUAUCACGGCAUGAGCCGAGGAGAGCACAUGUAAAUUCCUUAUCAGGAGUUGUGCAGGAGGAAGUACCAGUGGUAAAGGAUUUCCCCGAUGUAUUUCCAGAAGAGUUGCCAGGCAUGCCACCGGAUAGAGACAUUGAGUUCUUAAUUGAGCUACUGCCAGGCACUGGGCCGAUAUCUAAGAGACCGUACAGGAUGCUAGCCCAAGAUUUGGAGGAAAUUAAGAAGCAGAUCAAGGAGUUACUGGAAAAAGGUUUUAUUCGCCCAAGUUCUUCGCCUUGGGGAUCGCCAGUACUUCUAGUGGAGAAGAAGGAUGGAUCAUUAAGAAUGGUUGUUGAUUAUCGCUGAUUGAAUGAAGUAACAAUCAAGAACAAGUACCCAUUACCUAUGAUCAAUGAUCUGUUUGAUCGGUUGCAAGGAGCUAAGGUGUUUUCCAAGAUCGAUUUGCGAUCAGGGUACCAUCAGUUGAAGAUUCGAGAGCAAGAUAUACCGAAGACGGCUUUUACCACCAGGUACGGGCUGUAUGAGUAUACCGUUAUGUCAUUUGGUCUGACUAACGCCCCAGCCUAUUUUAUGAACAUGAUGAACAAGGUGUUUAUGGAGUUUUUGGAUAAGUUCGUCAUGGUGUUCAUUGAUGAUAUUUUGGUUUACUCGAAGAAUGAAGAGGAACACAAGGAGCACUUGCGAUUAGUACUCGAGAAGCUCAGGGAACAUCAUCUAUACGCCAAGUUCAGCAAGUGUGAGUUUUGGUUGAAGGAAGUUGGAUUUCUCGGACAUGUUAUAUCCGGAGAAGGUAUCGCAGUAGACCCCACUAAAGUAGUCACUGUGACAAACUGGGAAGCACCAACAACAGUUGGAGAGAUCGGGAGUUUCCUUGGACUCGCAGGAUACUAUCGAAGAUUCAUUGAAAAUUUCUCGAAGAUUGCCAAGCCUAUGACAGAGUUGUUGAAGAAGGAUACCAAGUUCAUCUGGACUGAGGAGUGUGAGGCUAGUUUCCAAGAAUUGAAGAAACGUUUGGUUACCUCACCAGUGUUGAUUCUGCCAGAUCAGACUAAGGAUUAUGAAGUGUAUUGCGACGCUUCACGACGAGGACUUGGAGCAGUGCUUAUGCAGGAGGGAAGAGUUGUUUCGUAUGCUUCAUGACAGCUUAAGCCCCAUGAGUUGAAUUAUGCUACUCAUGAUUUGGAGUUAGCAGCCGUAGUGCAUGCACUGAAAACGUGGAGACAUUUUCUCAUUGGAAAUCAUUGUGAGGUGUACACGGAUCACAAGAGUUUGAAGUACAUCUUCAUGCAGAAGGAAUUAAAUCUCAGGCAGAGGAGAUGGUUGGAACUUAUUAAGGAUUAUGAUAUGAGAUUGCAUUAUCACCCCGGGAAGGCUAACGUUGUAGCAUACGCUUGAGCCGCAAGAGCCAUGUCAAUACUCUAAUGAUGGGAGAAAUACCCAAGGAGUUAGCCGAGGACCUUCGAGAGCUAUGUUUGGAAAUAGUUCCGAGAGUCUAUGUAGCAGCAUUGGAGAUUCAGUCUAUGUUGAUGGAUAAAAUCAGAGAAGCUCAAAAGGCAGAUACGGAAGUUGCCACUAUUAAGGAACAGAUGAGCAAGGGGAAGGCUAAGGGAUUUCGUGAGGAUGAGUACGAUACCCUACGAUUUGAGGACCGUGUUUAUGUGCCCAAUGACCCGGAGAUCAGGAAGUUGAUUCUGCAAGAGGCACAUGAUUCACCAUAUUCGAUCCACCCUGGAAAUACAAAGAUGUAUUUGGAUUUGAAGGAAACAUUCUGGUGGACCAGAAUGAAGAAGGAUAUCGCGGAGUAUGUAGCAGUUUGUGAUGUAUGUCAGAGGGUGAAAGCAGAACACCAGAAGCCAGCUGGAUUGUUGCAGCCAUUGCCUAUACCCGAAUGGAAGUGGGAUAAACUAGGCAUGGAUUUCAUCACGGGAUUGCCCAGGACUCGUUCAGGCUAUGACUUGAUUUGGGUUGUAGUUGAUCAUUUGACGAAGGUAGCUCAUUUCAUCCCAGUAAAGACUACCUACAGUAGUGCCAAAUUGGCUAAGAUAUGCAUGACGAGGAUAGUAUGUUUGCAUGGAGUUCCAAGGAGUAUCGUAUCAGAUAGAGGAACCCAAUUCACCUUGAAGUUCUGGAAGCAGUUGCACGAAACAUUGGGAACCAGACUGGAGUUUAGCACAGCUUUCCACCCGCAGACAAAUGGACAGACCGAGAGAGUCAAUCAGAUUUUGGAGGAUAUGCUUAGAGCUUGUGUUUUGGAUUAUGGAUCAAGUUGGGAUGACAACUUGCCAUACGUGGAGUUUUCUUACAACAAUAGUUAUCAAUCCAGCUUGAAGAUUGCCCCUUUCGAAGCCUUGUACGGAAGUAGGUGCAAAACCCCGUUGUUGUGGGAUGAGGUUGGAGACCGCCAGUUGUUUGGACCAGAUUUGAUUAAGGAGUCUGAACAGAAAGUAAAGUUGAUUCGCGACAGGCUCAAGGUAGCUCAGUCAAGGCAGAAGAGCUAUGCAGAUUCAGAACGCAAGGAGACAGAAUACGAAGUCGGAGACAGAGUUUAUCUUCAAGUAUCUCCACUUCGAGGGGUUAAGCGAUUUGGAGUUAAAGGAAAGUUAGCGCCACGUUUUGUGGGGCCAUACAAAGUUUUGGAACGCAUGGGAGAAGUAGCAUACAAGUUGGAAUUACCUGAGGGAUUGUCAGGAGUUCACGAUGUGUUCCAUGUUUCACAGUUGAAGAAGUGUCACGCAGAGAUGGCUGAUAUACCACUGAGAGAUACGGUGCCAUUGGAAACGAUUCAGUUGAAAGAAGAUUUGACCUAUGAAGAGAAACCUGUUAAGAUUCUGGAUUAUGCCAGCAGAGCUACCCGCAGCAAGGUUAUCAAGUUUUGCAAAGUUCAGUGGAGCCACCACACUGAAGAGGAAGCCACCUGGGAGCGAGAGUAAGAUCUGCUCAAGGACCACCCUCACCUAUUUGCUAGCCAACCCGAAUCUCGAGGGCGAGAUUCAUCUUAAGGGGGGUAGGUUUGUAACAUCCCAAAUUUUCAAUUUGGAAUGUUAUACAUAGAUCAUCAUUGCAUAUCAUAUUUUUGUUGCAUUGUUGGCUCAAUCCUAGAAAUUCUACGCAACUCAAUGACCCACAGAGAGAGUUGGGGAUUUCGUUAUUUUCCUUAUUUGAGUAUUUCUCAAAUUUUGAAAAUAGGAUCAUUGAUUUUAUUUAUUUCAUCUUCAAUUAUUUCUACCACCAAAAUUCAGAGAGGGAAUAAAAUGACUUUCCCAAAAUAAAGAAAUAAUGAAGAUUUAAUAAAAAAAUCCAAUAAGAUUUAUUUUUGAGUUUUUUGCUUUUUAUUUGAAUUUAGGAAAAAUACGCGUUUUUCAAAAUUGCAUUUAGGCCCCAAAUAAAUGUUCGUCUAGUCCGGCUUGAUUUUAGAAGCCGGGGAAAAUUUAUUUCGGGAUUUUUGGAGUCCGUUUAUUAUUUCUUUUUAUUUUUUUACCGAGCGUAAUUAUUUAAAAAAAACGCGCACCGACCUACGGGUCGUGCCCGAGCGGGAUUCCGCUCGGGGGCACCUUUAUAUAGCGCCGCCCCAAGCGCCCAGCCCACCCGAGCCCACCCCGUGCCUUAACCCUAGCCGCCGCCGCCAGCCGCACCCGCCGGAGUUGCACGCCGCCCGAGGUUCGCCGCUGCCUCGGAAUCCAUGCCAAUUUUUUUUUAAAUAUAUAUUUUUCGUCAGUUUUAUUUUUGAUUUUUUUAUUAUUUUAUUAUUUUAAUUAUUUUUGAAUUAGGAUAAUUAACGAUUAAUUCGUUCGUCAUUUUUCUUUUUCGUCGGAUUUUCCGCGGUUAUUUUCUGAUCGCGAUUUCUGAUUCGAUUUUCGUUUUAGUAUAACUUUUCGCUCGUUUAUCGGAAUCAGGCGAUUCAAGCGCCUGGAGUUUCGUCUCGAAACCCUCUUUCAGAAUAAUCUACUUAAACAAGUUUUUGCUUCUGUAAAAUUUGACUUAGAUCCAGAUUAGUAAAACGAAGCUGAUUUCUUUCGCCGUUUGACUUUCGUUGCUUUAUUUGAUUUGAUUCUUUUUGCAAACCGGAGUUCUUAAGUUGAACAUUCUGGUUGGAUCUUUUAUUCAAGUUUUACCUGUGCAUUAGAUAAGUACUUAUUGUAUAGUUGUUUGUUUGUCUACGAUAGAAUACCCGGAGUGCACCGCCUGUUACUUCGAGUCUCUAGGUUUCGCGGAUCAUCAGCAAGGCAAGUAACACUUGAUCAUACCUUUCUACUACCCAGCUUUUAUGCAUUAGAUCUAUCCUGAAACAUUGCAUGAUUAGGAUCUAAUUAAAUUGUGGGAUGGGAAGUAGAUGAGGUAGUACCUAUUACCUGUUUUAUUAUCUAACCUUUGGGAGUUACUUCUACGUUUGCUUAUUAUGCCAUGCUAUGCUAGUAGACGUGGAUUGGGUGAGUGAAUAUCCAUGACAGAUGUGAGAUUGUUAAUUAAUGGUUUAUUUAAGGUGGCAACUUGAAUACACAUCUGGGUGGAUUGAGGCACCUGUUUUCUAGCAGGACUUGCCUGUAUUUCUUCGGACCGCCACCCAGGCUCAAAGGGAUCAUGAGAUUAUUCAAACUAGAAACUUACGUGUGCAGCCACAAGCCAUUAUGGGCUCUGGCAUAGUUGACUAAGUUGUGCGAACUCUUACGGGUAGACUAGCAGAUGUAGGGGAAAGUAGGUGUACCGGUCUACCCACAUGUAAGGUGCUAGUGCUUCCGAAAGACUAUGUCUCGGUCAUCCGUUUCUCAAACAUCAUGUAGUGCGAGGAAUCAAACGGAGGCGAUCGAGUCUUGUGGGAAAAGUGCGCAAACCUCUGCAGAGUGUAUAAACUAAUCAUGGUUAGCCGUGUCCCCGGUUAUGGACAUCUUGAGUAUCUAGUACUUGAUUAUCAUGUGAAUCUCAUCAUGUUACUUUAAUUAAUAUUGUUGGGUUUUAAUGAGUACCUUUUAAUUGGGAUUGAGAAUGCUGUCAACCAUUCUCAAUGUUUAACAACCACCAUGAUAGUUAAAUAACUUUAUUCCUUUGUAGUAGGGAAAAAUUGGCUUUAUGCAAAAACUGUAACCAUAGAGCUUUACCACCAGCCAAAUAUGCAUGUAGUAUAGCCUAUCUCCAUUGUUAUUCUCUAUGUGUUACAUUGCCAGCAUAUUCCAUGUGCUGACCCGUUUUCGGGCUACAACGUUUCAAGUUGCAGACUUUUCAGACGACGAGUAAGGUGCUGUUAGGUCGUGGUUCUAUACUCAGUGAUGCCGUUGGAGUUGAUGGACUCGCUUAUCUUCCAAGCCUUCUGCUGUUAUCGUUUUAGAUGGCCUUAAGCCAUAUUUAUUGCAAUAAGUUCUCUUUUGAGACAUUCGAUGUAAUAAGUGUGUGAUUGCUACUCUGUUAUAAAUCCUCCAAGUACUGUGUGGUGUCAGCAUUACUGAUCCAGGGAUGACACUGAGCACAGAGAUCAGACUGUUUGAGGUCUGGUCGCUACACCAGGCCGGCCAACAUUUUGGAGCCGUCGAAGUGCAUGAUCCAAUUAGAAUAUGCGCCAUACUCUUUAGGGAGUUCGGCUUCGGUCCAUUCUGCGAUGAAGUCGGCCAAAACUUGCGACUUGAUAGCUCGCUAUGGUUUAUAGGUUAUGUCGAAUGGUAGGAGCUCGAUGGCCCAUUUUGCAAUCCUGCCAGUCGCGUCGCGGUUGUUUAUAAUGUCAUUAAGAGGUACUUCGGAAGCUACUGUUAUUGAACACUCUUGAAAGUAGUGUCGCGGCUUCCGGGAUGCCAUGAACACUGUGUACGCUAUCUUUUGAUAAUGUGGAUACUGGGACUUGCAUGGAGUUAGGACAGUGGAUACGUAGUACACUGGUUUUUGAAGAGGGAACUUGUGUCCGUCCGUUUCUCGUUCGACAACGAGCACCGCGCUUACAACUUGAUGUGUUGCCACGAUAUAUAAUAACAUUGGUUCGCCCAAGUUGGGAGCGGCCAGGACCAGAUUUGUUGCCAAUAUGGCCUUUAUUUCUUCAAGUCCGGCCGUGGCGGCAUCCGUCCACUCGAAGUGUUCGGUGCGCCGGAGGAGGCGAUAAAGGGGUAAUGCCUUUUCUCCUAAGCGGGAGAUGAAGCGGCUUAGAGCCGCCACGCAUCCAGUCAAUUUUUGUAUUUGCUUGAGGUCUUUUGGGAUAUCCAGUUGUGACAGAGCUCGGAUCUUGGCUGGGUUUGCUUCAAUUCCUCUACCGGAUACAAUGAAGCCCAAGAGCUUUCCGGCUGGUACGCCAAAAACGCAUUUUUCCGGGUUGAGCUCAAUGUCAUAUGCUCGGAGAUUGUCAAAUGUGAGCCUCAAAUCGUCUACUAGAGUUUCGACAUGUUUGGACUUGACGACCACAUCGUCUAUGUAUGCCUCCACUGUUUUGCCGAUCUGGGUUGCCAGACAUGUCUGAAUCAUGCACUGAUAUGUUGCAUCGGUGUUUUUGAGCCCGAAGGGCAUUGUGUUGAAGCAGAAUGGUCCGUAUGGAGUAAUGAAUGCCGUUGCGGCUUGGUCUAGCUCUGCCAUCUUGAUUUGAUGGUAGCCGGAGUAUGCGUCGAGGAAGCACAAUGAAUCGUGCCCUGCGGUAGCAUCGAUAAUUUGAUCGAUGCGGGGAAGGGGGAAGGGAUCCUUUGGACAAGCCUUGUUAAGGUCCUUGAAAUCGACACACAGGCGCCAGGAUUUGUCCUUCUUUGGUACCAUUACCAGGUUUGCUAGCCAGUCCGGAUGUUUUAUGUCUCUGAUGAAUCCAACUUCUAAUAGUUUGGCUAGCUCCUCUCCCAUUGCCUGUCUUUUGGGUUCGGAAAAUCGCCGAAGAGUUUGUUUGACUGGCUUGAAUCCUUUUAGGAUAUUUAGGCUGUGCUCUGCCAGCCGGCGUGGGAUUCCUGGCAUGUCUGAAGGGUGCCAGGCAAAAAUGUCCCAAUUUUCCCGUAGGAAUUCUCGUAGUGCGGUGUCUACAUCAGGGUUUAAUUGUGCCCCAAUGGAGGCCGUCUUUGUAGGGUCCGUUGGAUGGACUUGGAAUUUGACUAUUUCGUCCGCUGGCUUAAAAGAGGUGGACUUGGAUCUUUUGUCAAGUAUCACAUCAUCCCUGUUCACCGUGGAGCGCAGCGCUGUGAGUUCCUCGGCCGCUAGGGCUUCAGAUAGCGCCUCUAGGGCUAGUGCGGCUGUCUUAUUUUCGGCGCGGAGCGCUACGUCCGGAUCACUGGCGAGGGUUAUGAUUCCGUUGGGCCCGGCAUUUUGAGCUUCAUGUACCCGUAAUGGGGUAUAGCUUGAAAAAUUGUGAAUGCCUCUCGUCCUAAUAAAGCGUGAUAUCCGCUGCUGAAUGGGGCCACAUGGAAUGUGAUCUCCUCGGACCUGUAGCUGUCCGGUGAUCCGAAUACUACAUCUAGUGUUAUUUUUCUUGUGCAGCAUGCUUCCCGACUAGGGAUUAUUCCUCUGAAGGUUGUGUUGCUUCGCUCAAUGCGGCUCCAGUCUACUUCCAUUUUUCGAAGGGUUUCCUCGUAGAUGAGGUUUAAUCCGCUGCCGCCAUCCAUGAGUAACUUAGUAAGGUGAAAGCCGUCCACUAUUGGACUGAGGACCAAUGCGGAUGGUGCUCGGGCUGUUCGGAAUUUAGGUUCGUCACUGGCGUUAAAGGUAAUAGCCGUGUCGCUCCAUGGAUUUAUUGUUGCUACUUGGUAGACUUCGGCGAGGCUGCGGAGUGUUCGUUUCCGCAUAUUAUUUGAUGCGAAAGUCUCGAAGACUGUUAAUACCAUACUGGUACUGUCAGGCUGGUUCUCUGGGGCUAGAAGCUCUUCACCACUUUUGGCCACCUACCAUAGUAUCCAACAUGCUCGAAGGCUAUGUGUUGGAGUGGCGCCCUCUGUACUAUGGAUUUUGCAGGGUCCGCUGAGCCAUCCCUCCAGUACGGUUCCGUGCCCUUUAGGGGUUUUUUGCUUUUUGGUUUUUAACCCAGGUGCCUGAAUAUGAUGCACCCUUUUAUUUCGGACUAGGGUUGUGUUCGGAGCCGAAUUGUCCCAAAAUUUGGUUUCGGUUUUCCAGGCACUCUCCAUCGCACAGUACUUUCGUACUAUGGAUGCCAAGUCGGCGAAGCGUGUAAUUUCACGACGACUUAUGGCGUUCAUGAUUCCCUUGUCCGUGCAAUUAUUGCAGAAGAUUCAGAUUGCACUUCCCUCAUGGCAGUCCUUUAUACUGUCCAUAACCAGGAGGAAUCUGGCCCAGUAAUGGUGUACUGUUUCAGCAGGCUCUUGCCGGAUUCGGUAUAGAUCGCUUAUGUUUGGGUGGGCGGGUGGAAUUAAAUUCGGAACCCCGUCCAAUCUAAGACUCAAGGGCCAAAAAGUUUCCGAACUUGGAAGCUUGGGUUGUUGGAUGUUGUCCAACGAAUCUGGCCUGCUGCCUGACUUUAGGUUCAGUGCUUGAUUGACAUCCAUCCCUCCGCAGGAAUCCGGCAUGGAGGGGUCGCGAAUUCAGACAUAGCUUGUCCUUAAUGUAGAAGAAGAGUCGCCGAGCUGUUCCUCCACCACAUCAACAUGGUGGGAAGCCUGGGGAGAGUUGAUCUCUCUCAGAUCGGUUAUAAACCCAAUCCGAUCAUUGUCUGUAGCGACUCCCAGGGCGGCGAUGCGAUCCAAGAGCUCGUUUAAGGAGGAGAGCUCCAUCGGAUCUAGCUACUCGGCGAGUUCCGAGUUGACGUGAAGAUUGCUUCCGAUGACCCGAGAGGUCAUCGUCGGCGAGGCAGCCGAACAGGCGGUCAUAAGAAAACCGCCUAGCCGAAUAGUUUGGCCGAUGGCCAAAGCUCUUUUGGCGACGGUGCCGUCUUUAAAGACGAGACGAGGCAUCCUUCCUGAUUGCGAUGACACAGAGGAACUCUCAAUGAAAGCACCAAUGUCGGUGUCAAAACCGGCGGAUCUCGGGUAGGGGGUCCCGAACUGUGCGUCUAGGCGGAUGGUAACAGGAGACAAGGGACACGAUGUUUUUACCCAGGUUCGGGCCCUCUCGGUGGAGGUAAAACCCUACUCCUGCUUGAUUAAUAUUGAUGAUAUGGGUAGUACAAGAGUAGAUCUACCACGAGAUCAAGGAGGCUAAACCCUAGAAGCUAGCCUAUGGUAUGAUUGUUGUUCGUCCUACGAACUAAAACCCUCCGGUUUAUAUAGACACCGGAGAGGGCUAGGGUUACACAGAGUCGGUUACAAUGGUAGGAGAUCUACAUAUCCGUAUCGCCAAGCUUGCCUUCCACGCCAAGGAAAGUCCCAUCCGGACACGGGACGAAGUCUUCAAUCUUGUAUCUUCAUAGUCGAGUCCGGCCAAUGAUGAUAGUUCGGCUAUCCGGACACCCCCUAGUCCAGGACUCCCUCACCUCCCGUUGCGGCCGUAAGGGUCCAGACUCCGCCACCGCUUUAGCAAGGAUAUUGUCCGAUUUGUACAAAGGGGAAGAGGAGUUCCUCCGCAUUAAAACACGGGACGAAUUCUCCAUGUACAACCCUCCAGAGUGGGUAAGUUGCCAUUCUUUUCCCUGCUUCACUUACUUUAGCGUCCCUCUGCUAAGAUUACCUACAUCGAUGUUUCCGAGCAGGAACUGAGGAGGGUCGUAGAAGGAAUCUUCAGCCCCUCCCCGCAGCCAGAGGACCCCGGAAGGGCCCUAGAUCCGGGACUCAAAGAAGAUCCGAAUAUUACCGUGGAGCUUGUCAACGGGGUAUUUUAUCAAGCGAGCUGGGAUGGCGCUUCAGUGGCCAUUACGGCCGACUAUCCUGGACUGCUCCCUAUGUCGCGUGUAAGCCGAACUAAAAACCCUAUCCUCCGAAGAGGAUUUCCCUCCGGAUUAUGAUUUACCCUUGAGGCGUCGUGCUGUUUGCAGAGGCGACGGUCGGAGCACGGGGCCGAGCCCCUAGGGACUCGUCAACCACGGGCAUCUGGAUCGGGCAGGCUCAAGAGAAAGGCGGUGAGGGUUGACACUCCGUUGCAGAGGUAAAGUAAUAACCUAUCCUGUGGUUAUAGUAUUUGAAAUAUGACAGCGCCCUUUGUGUCUGGCAGGAAGAGAAAUAGUCGGACUAUAUCCGGGGGUCCCACCAAUCACGCCUCCACUAGCCAGGUUCCAGAACCGGCUUCGAGGGCGGCGGCGGACACGGGGCCAGAACCGCGCAGUUCUCCGACAGAGUUCGCGGAUAUGUGUUCGGCCACGAAUUCCGAGGUGGAGAGCGCCAUGAAUCACCGGCGCCGGAGGGCCGUGCUUCGGAACAACAUCUUUUUUGAAGAGGCUUUUAAUGCCUUCAAUUCGGCAGACGCAUACGUCCGAGCUUCUCAAGGCGGGCUAGCCCAGGCGACAAACCAAUACACCAAAGAUAUACGGGUAAGAAAUUUUGACAAGUAUAUAUAGCAGUAGCCCUUGAUACUUGAAAUAGUUGGGAUAACUGUUUGAAGGAUCAACUUAUGUAUAGGUCCUCGUGGACAAGAAUGAACAAUUGGCUCGGGAGCUGGAGGCGUGUAAGGCCCAGUUAAUGGACGUGGUUGCCAAGUUAGAGGAAUCCUAGAAGGCCCCCUCUGGUAAUAUUUGUCUUAAUUAUGCGCCGAUAUACCAGUUAGUAAAUGUCUGGUCUGGUUAGUCUAACAAAAAAUUCUGCAGACCAUCCCGGGGUGAAUCCGGAGGGCGUAACGGAUGACGACUCGCAUCUCAAAAGACAGCUAAAGGCUGGCGAGCGCAUCCUUACACAAGUAACACAAGAGAAGAACAAGCUACAAGAUGCCAAUAUUCGGUUGGACGUGGAAUUGAAGGACGUCCGCGCUCAACUCGCGGACUCCGUGAAGGAGAACAAAAGGCUUUGACGCGACAUUUAUGGUGAGUGCUUAGACGAACUGUAUGAUAGUUCAGCGAGGAAGUAUUGUGAAAGAGUUUUGCUUGCAGGAAUGUUAACGGGGCGCCUUGAAGAGGAGAUGUCCUCAUCUGCAAGUGAUGUGCUGCAAGAACUUUUGCAGUUGCACGAGCAUGCUCGGCGGGUGAUGCGCGGCGUUGCUCAGGCCUUGUGGCCAUCAAGCCUCCUGCCGAAUGGCAUGGGGGAGCUUGCGGACCUGCUUCAAGGAGCCCAGCGGCGCUUCCAUCUGUGGAAGAUAUCAGCAUGCCGGCAAGGUGCAAGAGAAGCCUGGGCCAUGGUGAAGACGCGCUACACCAAGCUGGACCCGGACCAUAUGGCCGAAGUAGGACCGGCGAGGCCCGAUGGUCAAGAAAUUCCCGUAAGCCUGGUAUAUGACCAGGUAGCGUUAGCCGCUAAGUAUUCUCAACAGGAUUGUAAGCUAGAUAUCCUGUUAGAUGGUAUAGAGGAGGAAUAUAGUUAGUCCAAGUGACUGUGUAAUUUGAUGGGCAUAAGUAGCCCCUAGCCGGAUUAAAAUCAUUUGUCAUGGCGGACCUUUUCGCUUUAGCCCCCGGAUCCUACAGUCCGGGGUGUGUCCGAAUACCCGCUCAGUUAUAAAAAACCGGGGUAUGUGUGGAGACCAGUCGUAGGGGUCAUAAGUGCUUGAACAGACAAGUACCCAACUAGUUAUGUUAUAUUACAUGGAUGGUAAGAAACAUCUUCCACGGAGAAUAGUUCCGUUAGGGGUUCCUUUCCGUGGGUAUGCAUGCGUCAAUGCACAUGUCCGGACUGCGAACGAUGGCGCAGUAUACAAGACUUCUGGGGAUUUUUGUUGUAACCAACGAAUACAUCCUUUGUUCACCGAUCGAAUAUUAUCUUAAGGAAACUAGCUUUCGGCUUCACCCAGUCUGAGGUACACAUCCGGCUGAACCGGCAGUAACAAUCGUAGAGGUGCUCCCCUUAUGCCCUAGCCGAAUUAACGGGAACGUAGGGCAUAAACACAAGAGCCAGACAACCCAGCUUGGCCACAUCUUAAGUCAUAUCGAUGCAUAUAAUGGUGAAGAAAAGGCACAUAUGGAAAAAGAACACAUAUGUGAUAGGCAAAAAUCCAUUUUAAAGUAAUUAUGUUUAGCUUCCGAAUAGGAAGCCCCCAGGUAUUUCUUACACACAUAGUGCGGCCGGAGUAAUCCGGGAGUCUGCAUUAUAAAGUACUUUGUGUGAAGAGAGAAAGAGAAAAAGGAAAAGGGGGGUCGAGAAAGGAAAAGUGGGGUGGAGCAUAAGUAAAAAAAGGGGGAGUAAGGAGACGAACAUUGAGUUCGGCGUUAGGCGUAGAAUCUCCGGAGUCUGGCCGCGUUCCAUAGGUUCGGCUCGAGUCUGUUAUUCGAUGCAUUACAUAAGCGGUACGCUCCUCCGGUGAGAACUUUGUCAUGACGAAGGGACCUUCCCACUUGGGUUUGAGUUUGUCCUUCUUCUUCUCCGGUAGGCGUAGAACGAGCUCGCCAAUAUUGUAAGUUUUGGCCCGCACUUCUAUGCUUUGAUAUUGUCGAGCCUGCUGCUGAUAGAAUGCAGAAUGGGCUUUUGCGACAUCGCACUCCUCCUCCAGUGCAUCCAAGUUAUCCUGCCGAUCUAACUCGGCUUCCUUCUCUUUGUACAUGCGUACGCGUGGCGAAUCAUGUAUUAUGUCGCAGGGUAGUACCGCUUCCGCAUUGUACACCAUAAAAAAUGGUGUGUAUCCGGUGGUGCGAUUCGGUGUGGUCCGCAGCCCCCAGAGUAUGGAGUCGAGCUUCUCCACCCAUUGUGUAUCUGAUUCUGUUAAAGAUCGCACUAGUCUUGGUUUUAUGCCGCUCAUGAUGAGACAAUUUGCCCAUUCGACCUGGCCGUUUGUUUGGGGCUGGUAGACAGAAGCGUAGUCGAGCUUAAUGCCUAUUUUGCCGCACCAAGUUUUCACCUCAUCGGCUGUGAAAUUUGAGCCAUUAUCAGUGAUGAUGCUGUGGGGGACACUGUAUCGGUGUACGACCCCGAAUAUGAAGUCUAUUAAUGGUCCGGAUUCGGCCGUUUUAACUAGUUUGGCUUCUAUCCAUUUGGUGAACUUGUCCACCAUGACCAAUAAGUAUUUUUUCUUGUGGCUUCCCCCUUUAAGGGGUCCAACCAUAUCCAGCCCCCAGACCGCGAAGGGCCAAGUUAUGGGGAUUGUUUGGAGAGCGGUAGGGAGCAUAUGACUCUGAUUGGCGAAGAGCUGGCAACCGACACAAUGUUGGACAAGGUCCUGUGCGUCUGCUCGGGCCGUCGGCCAAUAGAAGCCUGUACGGAAGGCUUUGCUGACUAGUGCUCGGGCCGCGGCGUGGUGUCCGCCCAGUCCGGCGUGGAUUUCAGCCAAGAGUUGCCGCCCUUCCUCUUCGGAGAUGCACCUUUGGAGCACUCCAGUCGCACUAGUCUUGUAGAGUUCCCCUUCGUGGACUUUGUAAGCUUUAGAACACCGGACUAUGCAGCGUGCUUCGUUUUGGUCUUCGGGGAGCUCUUGCCUAUUUAGGUAGGCCAAGAAAGGCUCGGUCCACGGGGCAAUUACGGCCAUGAUUUCGUGGGCCGAAGAUGUUAUUUCGGUGGCAGAGCCUCCGAUUGUGUCUGAUGGUUCAGAAUCUGGGGGUGUGUUUGGAUCCAUGCUGGUAUUGCCGGACUCCCCUUUCCAUACCACGGAUGGCUUGAACAGCCUUUCCAGGAAUAUGUUAGGUGGGACAGGGUCACGUUUGGCGCUGAUGCGGGCGAGAAUGUCCGCCGCUUGAUUGUUUUCUCGAGCCACAUGGUGGAAUUCGAGCCCCUCGAACCAAGCUGACAUUUUGAGGAUGGCAUUACGGUAGGCCGCCAUUUUCGGAUCCUUGGCAUCAAAGUAUCCGUUUAUUUGUGAUAUGGCAAGGUUCGAAUCCCCGCACACUUCUAGGCGUUGGAUGCCCAUAGAGACUGCCAUCCGAAGACCGUGAAAUAGCGCCUCGUAUUCGGCUGCGUUGUUGGAGUCUGUAUAUAAUAUUUGAAGGACGUACUGGACCGUGUCUCUGGUGGGAGACGUCAGGACUACCCCUGCUCCCAGUUCGGCCAGUAUUUUGGAGCCGUCGAAGUGCAUGAUCCAGUUGGAGUACACGUUGUACUCUUUAGGGAGUUCGGCUUCUGUCCAUUCGGUGACAAAGUCGGCCAGCACUUGCGACUUAAUGGCUCGCCGUGGUUUGUAUAUUAUGUCGAACGGAAGGAGCUUGAUAGCCCAUUUAGCAAUCCGGCCCGUAGCGUCGCGGUUAUUAAUUAUGUCAUUGAGUGGUACUUCGGAGGCGACAGUAAUUGAACACUCUUGAAAGUAGUGUCUUAGCUUCCGGGAUGCCAUGAAGACCGCGUAUGCUAUUUUUUGAUAGUGUGGGUAUCGAGAUUUGCAUGGGGUGAGGACUGUGGAUACGUUAUAAACCAGCUUUUGACGCGGGAAUUUGUAUCCGUCCACCUCUCGUUUGACGACGAGCACUGCGCUUACCACUUGAUGUGUUGCAGCUAUGUAUAAUAGCAUAGGUUCGCCAAUGGUUGGCGUUGUUAGGACUGGAUUACUAGCCAAUAAGGUCUUUAUCUCAUCGAGUCCGGCCGCGGCUGCAUCCGUCCAUACGAAGUGUUCGGUGCACCGAAGGAGGCGGUAAAGAGGCAAUGCCUUUUCUCCUAGCCUGGAUAUAAAGCGGCUCAAAGCGGCCAUGCAUCCAGCUAGCUUCUGGAUCUGCUUGAGGUCUAUUGGUAUAGCCAACUACGACAGAGCUUGGAUUUUUGCCGGAUUCGCCUCGAUUCCUCUAUUGGAAACAAUGAAGCUCGGCAGCUUCCCCGAGGGGACACCGAAAAUGCAUUUUUCCGGAUUCAACUUGAUGUCGUAUGUCUGGAGGUUAUCGAAUGUAAGCCUCAAGUCAUCUAUUAGGGUUUCAACGUGUCUCGUUUUUAUGACCACGUCGUCCACAUAUGCCUCCACUGUUUUGCCGAUUUUUUUUCAGGCAUGCUUGAAUCAUGUGUUGAUAGGUUGCACCGGCAUUCUUAAGCCCGAAAGGCGUAGUGUUGAAGCAAAAAGGGCCGUAUGUCGUUAUGAAAGCUGUUGUAGCUUGGUCAGACUCUGCCAUCUUUAUUUGAUGGUAUCCAGAGUAUGCGUCGAGAAAACACAGCGAGUCGUGUCCAGCUGUGGCAUCGAUAAUCUGAUCGAUGCGAGGGAGGGGAAAGGGAUCCUUGCGGCAAGCCUUGUUGAGGUCUUUGAAGUCGACGCAUAGGUGUCAGGAUUUGUCCUUUUUUUGGUACCAUUACCAAAUUUGCCAGCCAAUCUGGAUGUUUAAUAUCUCUGAUGAACCCGGCCUCAAGUAGCUUGGCUAGCUCUUCCCCCAUGGCUUGCCAUUUGGGUUCUGAAAACCGCCUUAGAGUCUGUUUGACCAGUUUGUAUCCCUUUAGUAUAUUGAGGCUGUGUUCAGCCAACCGGUGUGGGAUGCCUGGCAUGUCUGAAGGGUGUCAGGCGAAAAUGUCCCAAUUCUCGCGUAAGAAAUCUCGCAGUGCAGCAUCCAUCGCGGGGCUCAACUAUGUCCCGAUGGAUGCUAUCUUCAUGGGGUCCGUUGGAUGGACUUGGAAUUUGACUAUCUCGUCUGCGGGUUUAAAUGAGGUGGACUUGGGUCGCUUGUCGAGUAUCACGUCGUCCCUGUCCAUGGUGGCCCGCAGUGUUGUUAACUCUUCGGCUGCUAGGGCUUCAGAUAAUGCUUCCAGGGCUAGUGCUGCAGUUUUGUUUUCGGCGUGAAGUGCGACGUCCGGAUCACUGGCUAGAGUGAUGAUUCCGUUGGGUCUGGGCAUUUUAAGCUUCAUGUAACCGUAAUGGGGUACAGCUUGAAGCUUGUAAACGCGUCCCGCCCUAGAAGGGCGUGGUAUCCGCUGCUAAAGGGAGCCACUUGGAAUGUGAUUUCUUUGGACCUAUAAUUCUCCGGGUACCGAAUACCACAUUGAGUGUGAUUUUUCCCGCACACCGCGCUUCCCAAGUAGGGAUGAUUCCCCUGAAGGUGGUGCCGCUUUGCUCAAUGCGGCCUUUAUCAAUUUCCAUCUUGUUGAGCGUUUCCUCAUAGAUCACGUUUAAUCCGCUUCCGCCGUCCAUGAGUACUUUGGUGAGCCGAAAGCCGUCCACGAUUGGGCUAAGGACCAGAGCGGCCGGUGCCCGGACAGUCUGGAAUCGAGGUUCAUCACUGGCAUUGAAAGUUAUAGCAGUGUCGUUCCAGGGGUUUAUCUAUGCCACAUGGCAAAUUUCCGUGGAGCUUCGACGAGCCCGCUUGCGCCAGUUGUUCGAGGCGAAAGUCUUGAAGACUGUUAGUACCGUAUUGUGUUCGCUGGCAGGAUGUUGUUCCGCUUUAUGGCCUACAAGAAGAUCCUCGCCACUUUUUGCCACCUGCCGUAGUAUCCAACAUGCCCUAAGGCUGUGAGUUGGUAUUGUAUCCGGAGUACUGUGGAGCUUACAUGGCCCAUCGAGCCAUUCUUCCAAUACGGAUCCCUGCCCUGGGGUGGGUUUUGGUUUCUUGGGGAUUGGAUCAGACGACUUACGAGAGUUUGUCCGUUUAGUUCGGACAAGGGUCUUGGUGAGAGUAGUACUAUCCCAAAAUUCUGUUUGGGUUUUCCAAGCGCUCUCCAUCGCACAGUACUUCCGUACUAUGAUUGCCAAGUCCGCGAAGCGUACUAUGUCGUGACGGCUUAUAGCAUUGAGGAGUCCUUCGUCCGUGCAGUUUUUGCAGAAGAGUGAGACCAUGUUCUCCUCGCGGCAGUCCUUGACCUUGUUAAGCGAAAGGAGGAAUCUGGCCCAGUAGUGAUGUAUGGUUUCCUGGGGCUCUUGCCUGAUGCGGGAGAGACAGUUUAAGUCCAAGUAGGUGUUGUUAGCAGAAUCCAGAUUUUGAUCCGAUCUAAUGCCCAAGGGCGCGGGCGGUUCCGAGCUUAACAGCUCAGAAUCCGGAGUGCUACCCAAUUUCUUCGGCCCAAUGCCCAAUUCUAAGUCCGGGAUCUGGGUCAUGUUUUCCUUUGAGCAGGUCUUCGGCUCAAGGAGUUCGGUGAUCCGAACAUAAUUUGUCCUCAAAGUUGAGGGACAAUCCGUGUGUGGUUCCUCCACUAUCGCAAUCUCAUGGGUGGCCAACGGGGACCUGAUGUCCCUUCGGUCGGGUUUAAGCCCAAUCCGCUCAUAGUCCGUAGCGACUCCCAGAGCGGCGAUGCGAUCCAAGAGUUCAUCAAGGGAAGAGAUCUCCAUUGGAUCCAUCUGUUCGGCAAGUUCCGAACUGACGCGAAGGUUAUGAUUGAUGACCCGAGAGGCCAUCGUUGGCGCUACCGCCGAUGGGGCGGCCAUGAUAAAGCCGCCGAGUCAGAGAGUUUGGCCUACAGCCAGAGCUCCCUCCGAGGUAAUGUUGUCCUUGAUGACGAGACAAGCUAUCGAGCCUUGCAGCGACGACACAGAGGAACUCUCAAUGAAAGCACCAAUGUUGGUGUCAAAACCGGCGGAUCUCGGGUAGGGGGUGCCGAUCUGUGCGUCAAGGUUGAUGAUAAUAGGAAGCAAGGGACACAGAUGUUUACUCAGGUUCGGGCCCUCCCGAUGGAGGUAAAACCCUACUUCCUGCUUGAUUAAUAUUGAUGAUAUGGGUAGUACAAGAGUAGAUCUACCACGAGAUCGUAGAGGCUAAACCCUAAAGCUAGCCUAUGAUGGUAUGAUUGUAAUUGUGAUCGGCCUUCUAAGGACCAGCCUCUCCAGUUUAUAUAGACAUCAGAGAGGGCUAGGGUUUACAUGGAGUCGGUUACAAGGAAGGAAACACAAUAUCCGGAUCGCCAAGCUUGCCUUCCACGCCAAGGAGAGUCCCAUCCGGACACGGGCCGAAGUCUUGAGUCUUGUAUCUUCAUGCUUCAAUAGUCCGGACGUUGUACACAGUCCGGCUGUCCGGAUACCCCCUAAUCCAGGACUCCCUCAACAGUCUCCCUUCCUUUCCUUAUUCAACCCAGACAUGGAUUAGUCUGCAUGAAGUAGGGUUUCCUUUAAUAUUGCAAAUUAAGGUUUUCGUCUGCGUGACCAGCAGAGCAGAGGAUAGCAAAUUGGGAAGACGGUGGAGUGGAAAAAGAUCCACAUGCAGCGACGUGGCAGAUGGGGCAAUAGAACAAGGGUAUGGUUCGAAAAGAGGUAGCAUACCUGAGGGUCGGCAGGAAGUGGCUUCGCUCAUGGUCGUCGUCCUCCGCACACACUACGGUAGCGAGCUUGGGGACGAAGGCCAUCCCGCGCGGGCGCUAGGUAUGAGAGGAUGGCCUUGUCAUCAGUGCAUGACCUCACUCGCCGCCGACGAGUGCGUCAACAUUGCACGUCCUUUUCUUCCCCGGGGAAUCUGUGACCACCGGUGAGGAGGGAGAGAGAGGCCAUCUUUUUUAGAUCUGGAGAGAGGGUGAUAGUGUGGGAAGCAAGUGGGCAGCCCUUAGCAAGAAAGCGCUGAAGCUCCAGCAUAUAUAUCUUUUUAUACUACUAGUACUAGAGGUGGAGUGGUGGUAGAGUAGUUUAUAUUUUCUCUGCAUACAGUACCAGUUAGUCGUGCUUCAAAACUGAACGGCACACCAUUAAAAAAAUAAAGGUCAAUAACUAAUGCGGCACCUCGGGCCAACGCGGCCAGAUCGCAUUUUGCAUGAGAAAUUACACACCAUGUGCCGUUAACAUGCGGUCCCGUUCCAACAUAUCAGUUAGACGACAGCGUGAGGUAGUCGCGGGUUGAUUCAUUGGGCCCUUGUACACACAAGGAGAGCUGUCGGGGCUUGGGAGCCCGUUUGUAGGUGCUGGUGAAGUUGCGGAUGAAGGAUUCGGUGAAGUCUAGCCAGCUGUUGAUGCUGUAAGGCUUGAGGCUGUUGAGCCAGGUGCGCGUCGUGCCUUGGAGCAUCAGGGGGACAUAUUUCACGGCAAUGCGCCUGUUGCUGUUUGCAAUGCGAACUGCGGUGGAGUAGUCGAUCAACCAAUCUUCCAGCUUCACGGAGCCGUUGUACUUGGGCGUGUCUCUUGGGAGCGAGAACCCUUUGGGGAAGGGCUCGUCGCGGAUGCGGGGGCCGAAGCAAGGCGGUCCGACAUCAUCUUCCUCUUCUAACGCCAGGGAUCGCGCUAGGCGGUCGAUCCGAUGGUGGGCAUCGUUUUCGCUGACUCCUUCGUGGCGACCUAGUCGGCCGCUGAGAGUCGGAUGCGUGACAGGCGGCAGGGUGGGGUAUCUCUCCCCAUGAGGCGGAGGAGGAGGCAGAUCGCCCCAUCGCUCCACAGCUCGAGGGCGGCCUUCUGCGUCGCGCUCGAUGGUGAUUCGAGUCCGACUGCGACUGGCAGCCGGCUCCUUUUCUUGCCUUGUGCGGGCUCCGCCCGUAGUCGGCGUACGUGACGUUGUGUCGUGCUCUCGGCGUGGGGGAGGGCUUUCAGCGCGGACGCCGGCUUCAUGCCGCUUUGCGGCCGCAUCGAUCAGCUGCUGGAUGCGUCUGGUCAUGUAGGGGAGCUCGUCGGCCCCUACUCCGUUCAGCUCGUCUACGACCGACUGGGCGGCGCGUAGGUUCUCGAGAGGCAUGGCGUAGACUAGGCAUUCUGCUCCCAGUAUGUCGGCGAUGGCCGCGCCGCGUUUCUGGACGAUGCCGGCCCGGCUCGGCCAUCGGGAGGCGGCGUGCCAAAGGCGGCACGGUCGACUUCGCUCUGGUGAGCCUCGGUGAGGCGUCUCAUGGUGGCUAGCUUCUGGCCCUCCACAAUGAGGGCAAGGCGGCGUGCCUCCAGCGCCUCGGCGUCGGCGUCGGCCGGGAUGGGGGCGGACAAAUCGUGCACCACCGCUUGCAGGGUGUCGUGGGUGUUCUCGCCAAAGGCGACUCCAUGGCUGAUGACCAGCGCCUCGGUGACGGUGCUGCCACCGCUGUCGGCUCAAGGGAGAGGAUCGUCGAAGACCACCACGUUGGUGGGGAAAGUGUCGAGCGAUGCCGUGUCAGAAUCGACAAGCAUUGGGUCAGUGGGUCCAACCGACUCCAAAUCCACAGCAGGCUCGCUGGAGACGUAGAGUUGGUCGAGGAGGCUGACAAGGCGGCUCUCGGGGCAGCCGGUGCCCGCGUCAGACGCGGGCUCGUCAGAGAUGCGAGCCUCACCAAGAAGAUCGGCGAGGCAGCUCACUGCGCAGGCGUCGUCGACACCUUGCAGCGCGUCGGGGCAAGCGCCAUCGGGCGUGCCGGGCUGGCUAUGCUCGCGGGGGAGGAAGAGGGUUCUCAUCCAGAACAGGUCUCCGGAUGACGGUGCACCUGGCCCAACGGUGGGCGCCAAAUGUUGGUGGUAGGUGCGACAUAUGCCAACGGGUGGCUUAUCAUUGUGGGAGCCAAUAAGACAUCGCCGGCGCCUGGAAACGGGAUAAGGCGAAGACAUGCACGCCGGCGAAUCUUAUCCAGGUUCGGGGCUCUCCAUGGAGAUAACACCCCUAGUCCUGCUCUGCGGGGUCUCCGCAUGAUCACUAGAUCAACAAGUAGCUACAAGAGGCUCCUUGAGCUGUUUGGUGAGAGGAGGAAGAAUGGGCAAGGCUAGCUCUCUUCUCCUCUCAAAGUUGUGUCUAAAACUAUCAAAGUCCAACCCUUUGCAUGGGUGCCUUGGGGGGUUUACAUAGGCCUACCCCCUAGGGGUACAAUGGUAAUCCGGCUGGGCGUGGGCCCAACCGUCAGUGUCUACGCUCGCCGGCUUCUCCGCCGACUGCUGGGGCCCGCCGACUGGUGGGUCCCAUCGGCUGCCGGCCUCCUGGUCGACAGGUAGGCCCCACCGCUUGGUCUGAUCGGGGGCUGGUUACUAUUGCCUCACUCUUGAUGACGAGGGCUUUGUCGAGGUAAGUAUGGCUACAGUGCCGCCGCCUUGCGGGCGCUCACUGUAGCCUUACCUCGUCUUGUCUCCUUAAUGGUGCACGUUCUUCGGGGGAGGGAGCGAGCCGGCUGGUGAGGGCCGGCUAUGUCCCAGGCCGACUAGGGGAAGCAGGGCCGCCUUCGGCUGUCUCUCUGACUGAAGGGGCCUGCCGCCUGCGGGCCGUACUGAUGGCCCGUCGUGGGUGACGUCGUGGUCAGCAUGGCAACAGUGCCGCGCCGGACGGGUCAUGGCUGCCCCGUACGGCGUACUGUAGCCAUGCGUACUCUGGGAUUCGGGGGUGACGGGUUUCACUGUUGCCACGCCCCGUCCCAUGUCCGUUAUGUGGGUGCAGACUUUGAGGGCACGAUCUGGGCCGCCUAUCAGGGGCCGGCUUCUUGGAGUCGGUCGUAUCGUGGCCGGCUUCUUGGAGUCAGCCCUCCCACGACUUUCUUUAUGAGGAUUCUAGGGCCGGGCCGCCUUCCAGUAGUCGGCUGGUGGGGUAGCCGGCCGGGGGAAGGCGGCCCCGUGUCUUGGGUGCUCGAAGGCUUGAUCGGCCUAUUAUUUAUUGAAGAGCCAGGGGGAGCCGACUAGGCUACGUGUGGUCAUUUACUUCGAAAAUCAUACCAUCAUAGGCUAGCUCUUAGGGUUUAGCCUCUAGGAUCUCGUGGUAGAUCUACUCUUGUACUACCCAUAUCUUCAAUAUUAAUCAAGCAGGAAGUAGGGUUUUACCUCCAUCGAGAGAGCCCGAACCUGGGUAAACAUCGGUGUCCCUUGCUUCCUGUUACCAUCAGCCUUGACGCACAGAUCGGGACCCCCUACCCGAGAUCCGCCGGUUUUGACACCGACAAGACCCUCUCCUCCUCUUUGUCACACUGCUUGUAGGAGGUGAUGCUCUAUCCCUUUCGACAGCUUUUUUGAGGAGGCUCAACCUUGGUGACCCUCGAGCAGUCAUCAUAGUGACUUCUGAACAAUAUUCAUGACAUGAACAACAGAAAAAAACAUAAACUUCUACACUAUACUUAUUACUACUACACUACAAAUGACACGUUAUGCAUGUUGAUAAUCAGCCCACAUUUGAUGAGCAAUGGCAUCUCUAAGGUUGUUUCCUUCAUGGUUGAUUUGAUGAUUUUGAGGAAGAUCACCAUCAGGAAGAUCAACAAAAUUCAUGACAUGUAUAUUGUUUGGUUGGUUAUCUAACCAACGCUCAUCUCCUUUUUCAGAUCGGAUGAUGUUAUGUAAGAUUGUUGCCGCUGCUGGUACACUUGGUUCUCUAUUCGAUGAUGUGUGCCCACUUUUAGGAUUGGGAACCGCUUCUUCAAGAUUCCUAAUCCCCGUUCGACGUGAUUUCGUAACACGGCAUGCCGGAGAUUGAAUAGCUCCCUGUGAUUUUGGGGUCGAUGAUGACCGCGUGCAAACUCCUUCAGAUGGUACCGAAUACCACGAUACGGUGCCAAGAAGUAAGGUGUGUUGGCAUAACCACCAUCAACUAGAUAAAACUUGCCCAGAGGUACAUGAAACCCACUGUUAAGUGCUGACCGGAGAACUUUAGCAUUAAUAGCAUAUCCCUCCCAGCCACAAGAAAUGAAGGUGAAGUUCAGGUCGAAGUCGCACACGACCAUAACAUUAUGGCUUAGGGUCCCUUUCCUAUUUCUGAAUGGUGCGGCUUUUUCUCCUGAAAUUGUUAUGGGAACAUGUGUCCCAUCAAUUGCCCCAAUGCAGUUCUGCAACGAAAUACUAUAACUUAGCACCUAUAACAUGAAGAGUAAGUUAUUGAUGUGGAUCAAAGUUGGCAAAGCAAAAACCUGAAAAUAAGGAAAGAAUCUCGUGUCCGACUGAAUCUUUGGAUGCACUUGACUAGGAUUUGGAGGCUUCAAAAAAUGCUUGGAGAGAAUAGGGAUGAUGUCAAAGAAAUUCUUCAUUUGCCAAUGGAAAGUAUCCCCGCUGUGACCAAACCGAACUUGAAGGUCUUCAAAUGAAGAAUUACGGGAUAACAUCCACAGAAAUGAUGCUAGUUUCUCUUCGACUUUAAUUUUGGUAUCUUUCACCAACUUCUCCCUUCGAAGAUAAUUAGCCAAAGAUUUGAAGAUACGCGGCUUCAUCCUACAUGCUACCCGACAGUUUUUGACGUGCCCUUCGAGUAACUCCUUAACAAACAUCUCGCCUGUUAGCGAUGAUGUAUGAUGCGGAAUCCUCCGCUCCCUAAGAGCAACUCCAUCGGUCUCUAUCAAAUGUAGUGCAGGGAAAACGAAUAACAUAAUUUCGUCAUCCUCCUCCUCCCUCUUCCUAACACGAUCCCUCAUUUCCGGAUCCAUUCCAAAUAUAAAGAAGAAAAAUGCCGCUAGUUAUUACUACUACACCUAAACAGUAAGAGUGCAAGUUGUACAAGCAAACAGUUCAUAUGUUCGGCAUCGGAACAUCAUCUAACAGAAAGGACAACACUGGAAAGAAAUGACAACUGCAAUGUCUAGUAAUGUCAAUAGGAAGGUGGUAGUACUUGAGCUCAAAUUGUUCAACAACUACAAUGUCUAGUAAUGUCUGAUAUUAACAUAGCUCUCAGCUUACCAAAAAAGAACAGUUUGUAGCACAGAUCUAUUGACCAAGCAAUAAUAAUCUACAUCAAUAUGAAUAAGGAGAAGAUUAAAACAAGAGGAAUAAUCUACCUUGUCCUUCACGAUACUGCCCAAUUCAGGGUCUUGCUGCAGCUGUGAGGUGACGAAGCUAGCCUCUAGAAAAUGAAGACAAAAUGCAGAUUUAGCUAUCUUUUCAUUAUGUACACAAACUGCACUAUGUAUAUUUAGAUAAUCAAGAACAGAUAAUGAUCACACACAAACUGCACUAUGUAUAUUUAGUCCUUCUUUAUACCAAGAAAUAGACUAACAAUUAUACUAAUUCUGUCGAGAAAAAUAAAAUAAACUGAUGAUAGGAUAUGAUAGUGCAGUGCAAAUCGAGAUGAUGACCCUAGUGACAAUCCUCCCCCUCUCUCUCGACCUGUUAUCAGUCUGUCUAACUACAAAAUUAACACUGAAGCUAGAGUACUACCCACAAAUCACAACAGACAUACAAACAAAUUGCUGACACAAAAUUGUACUGCUGACUCCAGUACAGAGUAACCUGCUGAGUCCAUUUACUAACACCAAAUUGUACUGCUGACUCUAGUACAAUUUACUAACAAGGACAUAUCAGAAUAGGUAAUCUAGCUGACCUUCCUUUCUCAUUUCAAUAUGGAGUGACAACACCCAGCAACCACUUGCAUUACCUAUCUAAAUAACAAUUGAUGCUAGUUCCUAGGAACCCCAAGAAAGUCUCAACCUUGACAACCACAUUCUGGAAGACAAAUCAAGAUCUGGCUAGGUUUUCAUGGAGGGGGCGAAUCAGUGCUGCUAGAGAGAGAGAGAGAGAGAGAGAGAGAGAGAGUGGGAGGGGGAGGGGGAGGGAGAGAGAGAACUAACCAGAGAUCUCGUCCCCUGCAGCAACCACUUCUCCAGAGCUAGGGUUCCGACCGUGGCCAGGGGGCGGCAGGGGAGAUGCGACAAUCGGAGGUUAGGGUUCCGGCAAGGCCUCGUGGAAGGUCGUUGAACCAGGGGGACACCCUCCUCUCGGCGUAGGUUGCGCCGCCGCCGUCGCCAUCCACUCGCCGCCGUCGCCGCCUCCUUCCGCUUCUGGCCUCGCUCGGGAGAGACGAUACGAGCGCCUUGCUCGGGGGGAUUGCUUCCAUGGGGUGCCAGGAGAUGAUUUUUUCCACGUGGGUUUGGAGAGGUUUGGGCCGGGGAAAUACCACACGGGGCUUAACCGAAUGGAAAAAACUGGGCGGGCCGGGUUUAUUCCCCGGCGGGGGGAAACCCUGCGGACCCGCAUGGAUUAGACCCAAAACCUCGCGGGGCUGGGCUUAACCGAACAAGGCCUAAUGGAGGUAAAACCCUACGUCCUGGUUGAUUAUAUUUGAUGGGUAUUGGGGUUAUAAGAUUUGAUCUACCUCGAGAUCGUAAUGGCUAAACCCUAAAUGUCUAGCCUAUGUAAAUUCUGAUGGCCUCUACGGACUAAACCCUCCACACCGGAGGGCCCUAGGGUUGUACAGAGUCAGUUUACAGAAGAAGGAAAUAGCACAUCGAGACAUUAAACUUGCCUUCCACGCACAUAGGAGUCCUACCCGGACACGGGGGACAGUCUUCAACUUUAUCUUCACGACCCAUCAGUCCGGUCCAUAUGGAAUAUACCGAACACCCGUGGCCCCCCUAAUCCAGGACUCCCUCACCUGGGGGUAUUGUAAUGCUAAGGAUUUAGCUUAUCUUUUCUUUUCUCCAUAUAUGUUGCAGAUGGUCAAAUAUCACUUGAGUACGGUUGAUACAUGAGUAUUAUGAACUAAUAUCAACACCCGCGGGGCUCUUCAAGUUUGCUUCGAUAUUCAACUAAAUUGUAGUUAUGAACUGACAUAGUGCCCUGUAUACAAGAUACAUAAAUUGUCGGAAUUAAAAAUCAUAGCCUCAAUUACUUCUGAAGCAUAAUAUUGUUGUCUUUUUUUAUCUGUUCACUUUUAAAAUACUUAUUUCCUAUGUUGAUAAUAUUAAUCUGUUCCUUGGUUUAUAUCUUCUUGAACAGGUUCAUUCUUUACUAUAACCAUACACACUUAAUAAUCUCGAAGAGUUUCAAAACCGUGGACCACAUGAAGCUCGAAACCACAUAUAGAUGUGUUCAGAUGCAAGUUCGGCAAAUCGGACAAAGUUUGUCCAGGUAGCAAGGAUUAAAAAAGGUGACAUGUGUGUCUUGGUUUUUGAAGGCAGAGAAGGCACGUUGUGAGCCACUAUGCACAACCUUUCAUAAGGUCAAUGGAUAAAUACUUUAUAUUUUCAUGUUGCCUUCGACAUACACUACUAGGGAAAACCUUAUGCACAGAAUCUUACCAGCAGUGCGGUUUAAAAACAAAUGCUACUGCUACUUAGCAGCAGCGCGCUGUAGAAGACAACGCUACUAAUACCCAAGUAGCAGUAGGGCGCUAGUAUAAAAGAGCCCUACUACUACAAUUGCCAAGGCGUUGCCUCCAGACUAUGUAUUGUAGUAGCGCCCUUUCCAUAGAUGCGCUACUGCUAAUGUACUUAGCAGCAUUGCAUUUCGCCAACACGCGCUACUGCUAAGUAUCAUCCCCUCUUGCAACUAAGUUUAGUCCCAUACUACUAAACGAAUAGGGUGUUUACCACCUUAAAUACGUUACUUCUCAAACCAUCACAAGCACUUAGUCUUCAUUGAACUCUAUGUGUAGGAUCUGUGGCCGCAAUAGGAAUCUUCACCGGUUCUUAAACCAGGGAAGAUCCCUAUUGACAGUUUAGAUUCUACACAAAAAGAUCAUUGAUGAGCAAUGUAUUUUUGAUUUUUUUAGAUGCUUAACCUUAGUGAUAGUGCAUUUUCUCACAAGGCGCUACUGCUAUGGGCCUAGCGGUAGCGCUUUUUCCACAGGAGCGCUCUGCUAUGUACCUUAGCAGUAGCGAUGUUUUCGUUCCAGCGCUACUACUAAGUGUACCUUAUCCACCCGCGUGCGUGCCUCUCCACUCGCAUUCUCACUCGCCCAACUCCGCCGCGCGCCGUCGCCCACCAGCGCCCCUAGGUAACUCCCUCCCUCCCUCUCCGCCCUUCUCCUUCCUCUGGCGGCCCCCUCCUCCUCUCUCCGCCUCCUCCCUCNNNNNNNNNNNNNNNNNNNNNNNNNNNNNNNNNNNNNNNNNNNNNNNNNNNNNNNNNNNNNNNNNNNNNNNNNNNNNNNNNNNNNNNNNNNNNNNNNNNNNNNNNNNNNNNNNNNNNNNNNNNNNNNNNNNNNNNNNNNNNNNNNNNNNNNNNNNNNNNNNNNNNNNNNNNNNNNNNNNNNNNNNNNNNNNNNNNNNNNNNNNNNNNNNNNNNNNNNNNNNNNNNNNNNNNNNNNNNNNNNNNNNNNNNNNNNNNNNNNNNNNNNNNNNNNNNNNNNNNNNNNNNNNNNNNNNNNNNNNNNNNNNNNNNNNNNNNNNNNNNNNNNNNNNNNNNNNNNNNNNNNNNNNNNNNNNNNNNNNNNNNNNNNNNNNNNNNNNNNNNNNNNNNNNNCCUCCCGCUUUCUAUAAUAGAAAGUUUUUUAGUAAUAUAAUUUAAGAAUAAUUUUUUAGUACUAGGGUUUACGAGGAUAUAUAGAUAGAUGGAUGGAACUAGUUGAUCUAUCUAUAUAUAGUAAGUGCUUAGUUGAACUAGUUGAAUUAAUAGAACUAGUUUAUUUUUAGUAAGAAAAUUUAGGUAUAUGAGAUUUGAUGAUCUAAUUAAAAUUUUACUAUAGAACUAGUUUAUUUUUAGUAAGAAAAUUAAUAGAACUAGUUUAUUUUUAGUAAGUGCUUACUUGAACUAGUUAAAUUAAUAGGACUAGUUGAAUUUAUGCCAUUAUCACUUUGUCAUCAAAGAAUUCUGUAUGAGAUUUGAUUAUCUAAUUAAAAUUUUACUCGGUGGAAUAUGCAGGCUUUGUAGAGCCGUGUCUCCUUGGAGUGAUCAUCAUCCGAGCUACCUCUAGCUACUUCCUCUACACCCAAGUCGGUGAGCUAAAAGUCCACCUCCUCCUUCUCUACUCCUUGGUGUGUUGAAUAGAGUAGAACUAGGGUAUUUAGUUGGUGAACUUAUGUGUGAAUGCUUAUGAUAAUUGAUCCGGAUGGAAUUGCAAGUUUAAGCAUCGUUGUUUGUGUAUGGACAUCUUUGUAUCACAGGGAAAUUAAAUCCGAGUGGCCUAUGUUUUGCUGGAGUGUUGAUUCAUUUCCGUUCCGGCAAAUUUCAGGCGCUCGAUAUGUCCUAUUUUAGCAAAGGUCAUGCCGGAUUUUCCCAUGAAUUUAAGCAUGACUUAUGCUAGAAUAUGUAGGAAAUAUCGAGUGCCCCGGAUUUGCUAGAAAGAGAAUUAAAUGACAUUUCGAGUUGACUUUAAGUCUGUCGGGGCCCCAUACAUGACAGUCAAAAAAUCGGUGAGGGAGAGUCUCCACCAUAUAUGACAGAAGAAUGCUGACUGUUGUCGUGGAGGUCGCUUCUCCCUCUUCUCUUUGUGCUAGAUCUUUGUUAUGCACUAGGGGAAGAAGGAGUAGAGACCAUCAUCGACGGUCGAAAAAUCGGUGAGGGAGUGUCCACCAUAUAUGAGAGAAAGAAGAAUGCCGACUGUUAUCGUGGGGGUCGCUUCUCCUUCUUUUCCUUGUGCUAGAUAUUUUUAAUGCACUAGGGAAAGGAGGAGUAGCGACCAUCACCUACGGUCGCAAUAUCAGAGAGGGAGUGCCCACCAUAUACGUGGCAUGAGAGUUUAAUUAGGAAGGAAGACUCGACAGAGCUAAAGUCAACCCGUUUCAUAUUGAGUAAUAGUGAUCUGUGUGUUGAGUUUCCUGGUAGUUGCCUUCGAUCAAUUUUCAAUUAAUGUUUCAACUAUGAACAUAGGAAAUGUCUAACGACGAAAAGGAUUUCGGUAUGUGCGAAUACUGCAAAGACGAGCGCAGCUUGUGCGACAGAAAUUUCCUAGUUGAUGGUAGGCGCUUCAGCAUCAAGUUGGAUGAGACCUUCGAAGUGGAUACAGUAAGUCACAACGACAAGUCUUUUUUUGUAAUUAAGCAUGACUUCUGCUUCUUUUGCUUCAACUUAUAAUUUUAAUUUUUUACUAUUCUACUAGUGUAUACCCUGCCAUGCAAGAAUUUUUGUCUUGGAUAAGAUUGGUUUCAGUCGUAUGGAAACUAUGGAGGUAAAGAGAGUUCACUUGAGGACCGAGCAUCACUACUAGGGAAAAGCCUAUACACAGAAUCUUAUCAGCAGCGCGCUUCAAAAUAACUCGCUGCUGCUAACUAGCAGUAGCGCGGACAGACGAAACUCGCUGCUGAGACAAAUAUAGCAGUAGCACGUCCUCCCAAAGACGCGCUGCUGCUAUAAUUCCUACGAGGCCGCCGCGAGGCUAGUUAUAGCAGCAAUGCGUUAUAGUGAUGCGCGCUACUGCUACGUAGCAUAGUAGCAGCGCAUUUCUCAGAUAAGCGCUACUGCUAAGUUUCCUACAAAAAUUUAGUCCCACCUCGCUCCGUGAAGAGAGUUUCUACCACCUUAAAUAUGUUACUUCUCAAAAUUUGACAAGCACUUGAUCUUCAUUGAACUCUAUGUAUAGAAUUUGUGGCUGCAAUAUGAGUCUUCACCUGUUCCUAAACCGGUGAGGACUCAUAUUGACAAAUCAGAUUGUACACAAAAAGAUCGUUGAUGAUCAAUGUAUUUUUGAUAUAUUGAACAAAGUCUAUUUUUACAUGCUGACAUGUAGCAGUAGCUCUUUAUUGUGAAAGGCGCUGCUGCUAGAUAGCUUAGCAGUAGCGUCUUUUCCUGAAGAGCAGUACUGCUAAGCCAUUCAUCUCCCCCAUCUCCUCCAUUCCGAUCCACUCACACACACAGCCACUCAAUCCUCUCCGAUCCGUCUGCGCCGCGCGCCCCCGUCGCCCCUCCUCCGUCUGCGCCGCACGCCGUCACCUCCUCCUCCUUGCUGGACUCGGUACCGGCCUUCUCCUCCGUCCUCCCUCUCCACUCGCCGCUGGCCGGCCCCUCCUCGCUCCGCCUUCCUCCUCCGUCCUCCCUCAACUGGCCACGCCGGCCGGCCCCUCCUCGCUCCGCCUUCCUCCUCCGUCCUCCCUCAACUGGCCACGCCGGCCGGCCCCUCCUCGCUCCGACCUCCUCCUCCAUCCUACUCUCUUCUCCCUCCUCGAGUCGCCCCUCCUUCUCCCUCCUGCUCAUAUGCAACAUUUUGAUUUAGUUGAUAUAAUUUAGUUGAUUUAGUAGGCUAGUUGAUUUAGUUGACUUAGAACAUUUUGAUUUAGUUGAUUUAGUAGGCUAAUUCAUUUAGUUAAUUUAGUUGACUUAGAACAUUUUGAUUUAGUUGAUUUAGUAGGCUAGUUCAUUUAGUUGAUUUAGAACAUUUUGAUUUAGUUGAUUUAGUAGGCUAGUUGAUUUAGUUGACUUAGAACAUUUUGAUUUAGUUGAUUUAGUAGGCUAGUUGAUUUAGUUGACUUAGAACAUUUUGAUUUAGUUGAUUUAGUAGGCUAGUUGAUUUAGUUGACUUAGAACAUUUUGAUUUAGUUGAUUUAGUAGGCUAGUUGAUUUAGUUCACUUAGAACAUUUUGAUUUAGUUGAUCGUUAAUCCUUUGCUCAUAUUGCUUUAGGAAGAAUGGUGCCACCACCACCACCACUAUGUCGACUGUGCAAGUCAAGAUGCGCCAACAGCCUUGCAACUGGCAAGCUGUUCGGCAUCUACUUCCAGCCAAGUUUUCGUCAUGCGGCGGUAAGAAAUCAGAUGAAAUGUAAUAACUAUUUUAUUUUUAGUGUUGGCAUUACUGCAUUGUGUCAUUUUGCUUAUUUCACACAGAUCGUCCCAUGCAAUGUGAGGUUGAAAUUCAACAAGCUGACAGGAGACACUGUGACAUUUGAGGCUCCUGGGGGGCCGUACACUAUGGAGGUCGAGAAAGGAUGCAAUAUGUCGCAGAUUGGAGGAGAUGGAUGGGCCCGUUUCGUUGCUCGCAUGCAUCUUACUGGUGGUGAGUUGAUCAGCUUCAACUUCCGAGCAGAAAGACCCAAGCUAGCUGUCAUUUAUCUCAACCUGGUGGAAGAUGAUGAAGAUGACGAAGAUGAUGAAGAUGAUGAAGAUAAUGAGGACCCACUCGAUGAAGAUGAUGAGGACCCACUUCAUGAAGCCAUCGUAGCUCAAAGAACAAGGCUGAGUGAGGAGGAGGUGUCCAACCUGUGGGACAUAAUUCCACCACGUGCUGACUUUGUCGGGGUGCCAUUCGUGACCCGCUUGACAAAUACCAUGGUUGAUCGACAUGAUAUGGUAUGUUAUACUUACAAAUGCAAAUUAAUAGUGUGAAUUACUUAGUGUACAGUCCAAUGAUAUGGUAUGUUGUGUGGAAUCUAGUCAAUGAUAUAUAUGUUUUAGUGUAGAGUUCGAUCACAUGCUUAUUAAUUGAUAUGUUUUUCUUAUUCAGAAAUUGGCAAAGAGCAUAUCUGUGAGUUAUGGUAUCGAGCCUGAUGAAGAAGGCUCAGCUGGACUAUGCCUUACUGCAAGGGGCUCCAUCACAACCUGUACUUACCGCGUGGACACGGACGGUCGCACACACUUAAACUCGGUUGGGUGGAAGAAAUUCCUCGAUGGCAAGAAUCUUCGUGUUGGACAGGCCAUCCUAAUUACUAUCAGGAACACCAACCGCCCAGGCUUGAGGAUGAUGAUUGUCUUCGAUAUCAUCUAGAACUACAUAUGUGUGUGUGGCUAUAUCAUCUAGAACUACAUAUGUGUGUGUGGCUAUAUCAUCUAGAACUACAUAUGAUGAUCGUCGUCGAUAUCAUCUAGAACUACAUAUGAUGAUGGCCGUUGAUAUGACCUUGUACUGCUUGAGGAUGCAUGUUGGCUAUGCAAAUCUAGUACUCCUUUCGUUCCAAAUUACUCAUCGUGGUUCAUUACUCGUCGUGGUUUGAACCACGACGAUUAAUUUGGAACGAAGAGAGUACUACCGUACCUAGUAAUGGUUUAUGAAUUUGAUAUCUACUAGCAGUACCUAGUAUCUAGUAUCUGAAAGGAGAACUGAAAGGGAAAGGGUAAUGGGAAAAUGAUGAAAGAUAUAGCAGUAGCGAGGGAUGGCGAAAUUGCUACAGCUAGUUAAUAGUAGCGCGUUCACAAAAAGCGCUGCUGAUAUCGUCAACAGUAGUAGCGCGGGUUAGGGCCGCGCUACUAUUAUGAGUUAGCUGUAGCGCCUUAUUAGUAGCACGGCCACCCGCGCUACUGCUAGCCUAAAAACCCGCGCUGCUGCUAGCCUUUUCCCUAGUAGUGCGUGGUUAUACUUUUGCCACAAAAUUAUACAAUGCAGACACCUACACCUAUUUUGAAUGCAAAAAUUGGAGAGCACUAUGCAAGGCUUAUGCAUUUGAGCCUGAUAUGCUUAUCACCUUUGAUAUUCGUCCGAAAGAUGAUAUUGCAGGUAAUAUCGACAUCUGGGUCGAUGUGCAUAUGUCUCCAGUUCUACCAUUAUGUGAGUUUCUCAACCAUAUUUAUGUCUUGGAUAUUAAUUAUUCAAAAAUAGUUGACAACUAAUUUCUAUUGACAUCUUAUUUCCAUUCAAGCAAACAUGUCCGGUGCUUGGUAUACAUGACCUACUACUGUCCCGUGGCUGAACUAAACUGCGAGGAGAUAAGUCAUUAUGUUUCAUGGCUUGAGGAUCUUGAUACUGUCAAGACAAAUUACUUUCCUGGACUUGAAAAUCUUAGUACUCAAAAUGUGCGACCAAUAGUGUUCGUAUUGAACUACGAUAACAUCUAUUUAGGAAAGAUGGUAAGAUUUUUACUAUUUGUCCUCAGUGCAUCUUUUGCGUAUAUUAUUUUUUAAGCUAAACUUCAUUGUUAAGUAUGUUACUACGAUGUUCUUCAACAGGGGCUCCCGAUGAUAGUUGUGCCUCAUUGGAUCGAGCCUAAAGGUCGCAUAGCAAUGGUUAGCUUAUGACCAAGACAUCCUACAUUGCACAUGAGUGCAUUCAUAAUUUCUAAAAGCGACCAAGUCUUAAUAGUCAAAGACUAGAGCAAAAUUGUGAAGGAUCGCAGAGAAGUACUAGGGGGCAGCAAUCAGAAGCGCAGCCCACAAUUAGGAGACAGGUUCAUCUGCAUGCUCCAAUAUGAUGAAUCAGGAGUGCUACACAUGUUCUAUGCUAUUUUACCUGAGAGAGCAGCAGGAGUUAUUAGCUAGCUAGAAUGAGUUUGAAGAUGAUGAUGUGCUAUACUAUGACUAUGAUGAUGAAAUAGCUAGUGUUGGUGCUAAUGACUAUGAUGAUUAUUAUUAGCUAGUGUUGGUGGUGAUUAGAUAGCUACACUAUGUCUAUGAUGAUAAAAUAGUGUUGGUGGUAAUGACUAUGAUGAUUAUUAGCUAGUGUUGUUGGUGAUAUGAUGCAAGAGCUUUUAAAUUAAUAUGAUGAUGAUGAUGAUUUGUUAUUAUGAUCAUGAUUAGUUAUUAUAUCAUAGGUGGAAGGAACGCGGAUAAAUACACUAAAAAAAUAAAAAAUAAAAAAUAGAAUAAUGGUAGCGUGGGGCAAGAAAAACGCUGCUACUAGUUAUAUUAGCAGUAGCGCUGUAUGGACGGCGCUACUGCUAAGUAGCUAUAACAAUAGCGCGGGUGGGAACACGCUGCUGCUAUAGGUUAGAUGUAGCGUCUUAUCAGUAGCACGGGCGCCCGCGCUACUGAUAUACCUAAAACCCGUGCUACUGCUAGGCUUUUCCCUAGUAGUGAUACUAUAUUAUAUGAAGAUGCCAUCUAAAUAUCUCCUUGCAUGGUAUGCCUUAACUAUAAUAUUAUUAGAAUUGAUAAAUAUGCCAUCUAAUCUCCUUCCAUACUACUCCCUCUGUAAAUAUUAGUUAAAGACUAAUUAAGUCACUGUUUCUUAAUUUUUUCUAUUCCUUAUUUAUACCUCCAAACAGUAUAGAAUGUCAGGAGUUGAACUAUAAAUGCUUGCUUAUGCUUAAUAGAUCACCAAAAAAUGGAGAAUUUAUUCAUUUGCAUUUUUAUCGUGUAGACUGGCUCGCUGGACCUGGCGAGCCAGGCCGGUAGCGGGGACGGAGAGGGUGGGAACCGAACUUGGUGGAUCGGAACCCCCGCCGGUGGACAGGACCGGCCCGAAGAUAACCGGUGGUGGCGGCGGCGACAGCUGUAGCGGCCCAGGCAGUGGUGGCGGCAUUUGCAGCGGCCCCACGGAUGCGGCAGAAGUCGCCAGGAACGAUGGCUGCCACGGCGGCGCGGUGGCGGCGAUGGGCGGCGCAGCCGGAUGCGGCCCGUAGGACCCGGCCAAGAACAGGUGGAUCUCCUGGACCGCCUAGGUUAGGUCCCGCAGCACUCCGGACACCUCCUCCGAGGUGAGGCCGGCGGGGGAGGGCGCGACGGAGGAUCCUGGAGGGGGCAGGAGCGGGGCGACAGUCGUGGUGGUCGCUGAAGACGACGAGGUGAUCGGCAGCGGGAGAGACGGGUUGGCCCGUGGUGAAGAGAUGAUCGAACCGAAGCUAGCUGAUACCAAACUGGUAGGAGCUUGGGCCCUACCUAGCCUGGACAGUAGGUUGUAGGGGUGGGAGGCUGGUUGGCGAGGAGAUGGGCGCCGCCGCCGGCGCGUCGACGCCGUAGUCGCGUGGGAGGAGGAGGAGGCUGAGAGGGAGAUGGCGCAGGGGAGGUGGCGUCUAGGGUUAGGUCUCCCGGCUCCCUAAGGAAGCCGAUCAAAUAUGAUUGCUUCCUGCUUAACUUCAAACGAGUCCUUACAUGAGUUUAUAUAAUCUCCAAUAUGAUAACUGGGCUAAGCCCCUAAUAACGAUAAAAUAAACUGGGCCAGGCCCCUAAAGUAUAUGCCGGCCAUAACAAUUUUCAUGUUCUAUCUUAGAUGUAGCACAUUGUGUGUAUGAAUCAUGGUGAAUGUCAAGCCUACUUAGGUCAUACCCAAGUAAGGUCAGUAUAGAUGUAUAUUCCUUAUAAAAUGUGGUGCUCUAAUGUAACUUUGUUCCUCAAUGGUGAAUUAUGUUUUUCUAUAGUUAAAGUGCAUGUGUGUUGCUUUGAUGUAUAUAAGUGAAAGGGAACAAAAAAAAAGAAUGGGAGAAGGGAGCUUCUUGCUUUUCUUUUUCCCUUUUGUUUCUGUUUGAUAAUUACUCAUCCAUCCUGAUGCUUGAGUAUUUUCUAACCUCCACUGUUUUAUUCUUUUGGUGCUACUUGGACGUUUCUAAUGUCUGAUUUUUUGUUUUCUUUCAGAAUACAGAAAGAAUAAGCUACUAGCAUUCCUAAUGUGCAAGUAAACCUACUACAACGAGAGAUCUGGGCUGCUUCUUUGUGGCUUUCAAACUUGAAAUGUUUGUUCAGAAGUUAGUUUAGUUUUUUGUUGUGGAUUCACAGCUUCUCACAUGUACCAUCCUCUUAGACCUUUAGAUUUCUAAAGAAACUAAAUGAAGAUAUGGUGGUAUGGUCUCUAUAGUACAACUUAACGCCUUCCAUGCUUUAUAUUUUCUCUGAAAUUUGUUCUUGAAGAAUCAUGUAUCUAUGUUAGAUCCGGUGAGAAAAGGCGGCUUCCAAGCAGAGGACGCGGGCGUGUUGGCCACAUUUGGUUUUCGACUUGGGUGUCUAAAUAUUCUCACAAUACUUGACUCCCUCUCACCCUUUGCGCCAUUGGCGCAACUAGUCAUCUAGUUCUAUAACAGAUGGUAGAUAUACAAUUAUACAUGGUUAGAGAACAGAAAGAGGGGCAUGCAGUGUGUACAGCCUGUAUUUCAAAAAGGGGAGCUCGACAGGGAAGGAAUGAUGCAUCUAUGAGGAAGGAGGGAGCUCCAUUAGAAAAAGAAAACGAGACUGGGAGAUAAAAGGGUUAUGGGUUGUUCUGAUGGCUGUUGCUAGUAGCAGGGAUGGUGAAAAUAAAUCUACGCCAUGUUCCUGUGAGAGCUGCAUGAAGGAGAGCUGAAAACCCCGUUAAAAAAAGGAACUGAAAAUUCCAGCCUGGUCGAUCGAUCUGUAGGUGAGUGUAAGAUGUUGACAUCUUGUGAAUAGUAUAUCCUGUAAAAAACAAAUUUGGUAGAUCUUCUGAAUAGUAUAUCCACUCAAGGUGAGUAGAGGAGUGUAAGAUGGUGCAACACCAGAUUGACAUCAGGUAUUUAAUCAGUCUUGUAUAACGAUUGCUUCUCUGGGCGGUUAGCUUUAUAGUCUGCUUUUUUCGGAUUUUUUAUUGAAGUUGUGCACUAUUUGUUACUCCCUCCGUCCGGAAAUACUCGUCGGAGGAAUGGAUGUAUCUAGAUAUAUUUUAGUUCUAGAUACAUUCACUUUUAGACAUUUCUCUGACAAGUAUUUCCGGACGGAGGGAGUACAUAGGAUCAAGAAAGCUAGAUCUUUGUGUGCAUAAUGAAUUUCCUUUUUGUUUCAUGAUUUACAUUUAUGAUUAAUUAGUAUUUUUAUAUGCACACAGUAAUUUUAUAUGCUUUGACAAGAACUUUUAAGUGGCUCAAAUUAUCUGUAGAAUUAAUCUAUUUUACAAAGGAACAUAAUAGCACAUGUACCUCUAAUUUUAAUAUGCCAUGUCCAAUUAUUCUAUCUACGGUGAAAGAAACCAAGAUACCAGAAGACGAUCCGUCGACAUAUAGACUUCGGAAUCUUCCAUUUAGACAUCAAGAGUGGUGCUAUCUCUUCUUCCUAGGAGCUCCUAAAAGACAUGCUCGUGGUUGUGACUAAUGUCCAUACUAUUUAUCUCAAGGCUACACUGGUGCACAAGACGGAAAGCGAACUUUGAGGUUUCAAUGUCUCAUUUGAAAAACAUUGCAAUAGAGUUUAGGCAUUCUCCCCAACCCGCACACAUACACCAUCAUCGUCAAUGACCUAGGAAGCACCAUCCCAAUGGCGCCAAGAAUUAUUCUAUGGGGCACCAUCAAACGCACCCCAUAGCUUCCGCUGCAUAAAUAGCAUUGCCGACGGCGGCACCUGGCAGGGGGGCAGAAGGGCUAUUUUGGGACCAUUACACUGUUGUACCUCGACAACGGUGAUGGUGAGGUAGACAUCCAGUACAAGUGGUACAACCUCACCUUCUACCUCGAUAAAGAUGGGUCUAGCACCAAUUUUACCAUGCAAUGGUAUGGGAUUCAUUAUCACCUUAGCUCACGGAUAUCAUACUCACCCGCAUCAAGCCCACAAAGAAUGCAAGGAAAAAGAUGGUGAAGGUACUGGUCACGACCGCCGUUGUCUGGGGCCAUCAUGGUGAAAGUGGAUGGCUGGGAUUCAUGACGGGUCUGAGGCCGAUCCCAAGCAAGAUCUUAAUCAAUUGUGAAUGUGAUGCCAUUGUCGAUGAAAACGACGCAGGGCAUGAAGGGUGUCAGCCGCGACACAGUGAGGAAGUAAAAAUAUACCUAAUCAUGUCAUGUUUUCUUCCUCCCCGCUUACCGCCUCCUUCCCGCUUCCUCUUGCUCCUCCUUGCUUGGAUUCCGCGCUCGUCUACUAGUAACGCCACCGAAUUGUUAAUCUGGCUUGGGCCCUCGUGGAAUUGGGAAGGGGGAAGGCUCUGGUUUAGUUCCGUCUUGGAGAAAACAGGUAGCUCACGCCUUUGGUUCGAUGAUGAAUUAGAUCCCAGUCUCGCCCAAUCAUCCAGCGAAAAAAUAUGGAAUCCAAUAACUCCCGAACGAGGUUCGGAUUUUGAGCAUUUCGUCCCGAACGUUUUUACAUGGCAACUUUAGUUCAUAGGGGAUGGCAACUUUAGUUGACAGGGGAUGACAACUUCGUCCUUUUUCGUUUUUUUGUCAGAAAAUUGCCAUGUUUUCCUAAUCUCACGCAAACUAAACUUACCAUCUAAACCCGUUUAGGUUGCCAUGCUUAACUCCCGAAUGUUCGGGAGUUAUCAUUACCGAAAAAUAUAUCCCUGUUCAACUGUAUAUUUGGGAGGAAUCGUUGCUAGUGCUUAACUCCGGUAGAUUUGGAUGCAUCGUGUGUUAAGCCAGAUGUCUGAUUUGUAGUAUUGAACCUGUGAGCUGCUUGGGCACAGGUAUAAGAUGGCGAGCGAGCUGACUGUGAUGGCACUCCUGCAAUGUUCUACACACAAUUAGUUUGUGAGUUUGGGAUGUCACUUGAUGCCAGUUAAGACAUCUCCCACUAGGAUAUCAAAACAGUGAAUACUCAUACACAGGCUUGCUCUUGUUCGAUUUAAAGCACGCAUUCCACAUAUUCUUCCUCUCUAGUGAAGCUGAUUGAGGUUAAUUUGAGAUGACUGCAGAACAUAGCAUGCACAAUCACUGUCGAUUGGUACCAAAUUUAGACAUGAAAAACAUUGUUAUAAAACAGGCCCACCUAGACCACAUAAGCGAUGGGGGACUCCUUCACGUCUCGCCUGCCUAUGCAGCCACAUAGCCUGAUGGUGUCAACCAGGUUGCACCCACCCUGCCGCUUGCCUAGCACCUAGCCAUUCCCAUAAAACUUUGAAUUUACUUGAGUUCACUCUCAAAUUAAAGAAUGCUCCAGUACACUCUUAGAUUAGUUUACAGAGGUAGUAUGUUUUAUGCCAUGGCCCUCAACUUCUGUGGGGAUUGAUAGUACAAAAUCACUUUCUAUGUUGCAACUUUACAUGAAAAAAUUUAGCUGUAAAAUUUACGAAACCAAAGUAUUCUUUUAGGCUAUAAAAAGAGUGAAGGAUGAAAAUCGGUGCAUAUGGAAAGAGAGAACUUCAAAAAAAAAUUCUCUAUCAAGUCUCUUGUGGCAGCUUAUGCAUUCAGAGCAGAAUGUUUCCUGUUCUUCAGAAACUGAAGUGAUUUUUUUCUUAAUGUUAAUGUACUGGAAUUUUCGCAGGAGGUUGCAAAGACAUUCCGCGUAGAGGCGAUGCCGACCUUUGUACUGGUGAAGGGCGGGCAGGAGGUGAGUCGCGUGGUCGGGGCUAAGAAGGAUGAGCUUGACAGGAAGAUCAAGACGUUCAUCUCAUCGUCCUGAUCCUAGCUUAAUUAACCUGCACUCCAAUUGCAGUGCCAGGUUCUGUCUUCUCCCAGUGGCAAAGGGGCUCCUAUGGUUUCCCCAUGGUGUUGUAGCACCAAUCCUCCUAAAAUGCUGCAAAUCCGACGUAAAGUGGUAAUAAAGGUUCUGAAACUUGGAUCGUGUAAAUGUGUAACUCUGGCCUGUCUGAUCGUUACCUGUCACCUUUUGGCAAUCAAGUUACCGAGGUACUCCCUCCGUCCGGAAAUACUUGUCAUCAAAAUGAAUAAAAGGGGAUGUAUCUAGAUGUAUUUUAGUUCUAGAUACAUCCCUUUUUGUCCAUUUUGAUGACAAGUAUUUUCGGACGGAGGAAGUAUAAAGUUUGUUACUUGUCAAGCGUGUUUUUAUCCUGAUUCUUUUUGUUUUGUUACUACUAAAAGGCCAACCUGUUUCGCUUUGCUAUCAAGUGACCGGCCGCAGUGCAGUUGAUAUACUAGUAGUCGUCGGCAUUGGUACAUGGAUUCCUCGAGAGAAGCUAGCAUAGGUGUAGUAGUUAGCUGAAUGUGUUCUGCUUGCAGACUUCAUUCAGCAAGACAGUAGUAACAACAGCCAAGAAACUCACUAGAACUUGGCCAACAAUGUGCUGCAGAUAUCAUUGCAGUGUCCAGGCGUCGAUGAACGUAUAGAAAUGGAUUUCAGGAACUGCAUGGUUUACCGUUUACUUUGACCAAGGUUCUUGUAAGAAGUCAUAUAGAACAAUCAUGCAUGGACCAAUGACCUCUCUCAGAUUGCCAAAAGAUCUUCAUUGAACAGGUGGGAGUCAAUAUGGGCAUCCAGGUCCCGCUAUUGAUUAUUGACGGAAGAGGAGUCUCGGUCAUGUCUGCAUGUUCUCGAACCCGUAGGGUCACACACUUAACGUUAGGUAGCGCUAGGGUAGUAUUGAGAUAUUCAUAUGGUGAAGUCCGAAAGUAGUUUGGAGUCCCAGAUGGGAUCCGGGACAUCACGAGGAGCUCCGUAAUGGUUAAAGAUUUAUAUAUGGGAAGUCAGAUUCAGGGUUCCGGAAAAUGUUAGGUUUUUUGGGUAUUGUACCGGAAAGGUUCUAGAAGGUUCCAGAGUGGGGCCCACAUGGACGUGGGUAGUGGGGUAAGGUCCCAUACCCCUAGUCUAGGUGCACCAAUAUCCUCCCCUAAAAUGAAUAGGAUCGUAUCUUGAAAGGGAUAAGAUCGAGAUCCCUAAAAAGGGGAUAGCAAUCGGUGAGGAAGAAAAGGAGGGAUUUCUUUCCUUCCCCCUUGGCCAACGACCCUAGGGGCUUGGAGGGCAAUCUACUAGCCUCCUCCACGCCUAUAUAAAGGUGGGGAGGUGUUGGGGACAGCCACCCUUCCACACUUGUCCGUCUCCCUCCCGUCAAACCGCCCCCACCUCGUGCAGACGCUUGACGAAGCCCUGUUGCAGUUUUGCCACUGCCACCACCACCAGACCGCCGUGUUUGUUCAGAUCUUAUUUACCUCCUCUCCCUCACUUGCUGGGUCAAGAAGGAGAGGACGCCAUCGAGCCAAACGUGUGCUAAUCUCGGAGGUGCCCGCACGUGCGGUGCUUCGAUCGGAUUGGACUAUGACUACAUCAACCACGAUCUUUAGAUCGUUAACGCUUCGGUCUAGAAGGGUACGUAGGCACACACUCCCCACUCGUUGCAAGCAUCUCCAUAGAUAGAUCUUUGGGUGUUUCGUAGGAAAAAUAAUAAUUUGUUUUCCACGCAACAUACCCCAAUCCUCCAUACCGUGCCUGAGAAGUCAGCACACGCCACAAUAGUAGCCAAUCUUCUCGUAUUUUGUAAACCUUUUCUUUCANNNNNNNNNNAGAUUGAACCGCUACAGCGACUGAAUUGGUGGUAUCGGUACAGCAAUGUGUAAAUGGGCCGGCCUGAUCGGAGAUGCUCUGUGUGCCGGCUUCUUCUCUCGUGCAACUAGUUUGGUGGCCCAAUGAGCUUAUUUUUUCGAGGGAACGGUGGCCCAAUGAGCUGGCCCUGCCAGUGGUAGUAUAACUUGGUCUGUCGCCUCUUUCCCGUCCAUCGGUUCCCCAACCAAAGCAAAAAACCUAGGGUUUGUGUUAGGGCGGCGGCGGCGGCGGCGGCGGCUUUAUUCCCGAUCCCGAUCACCAUGCCCGUCGAAGCCGCGUCAAGCUCGGAUGAGGAGGAGGAGGAGGAGAUGGCCGCCCUCUCCGAUUGGGAGAUGGCGGCGGAGGAGGGGACCGAUUUCUUCACCGAUUGGGCGAUGGAGGGGACCGCCGUCUUCCCCGAUUGGGCGAUGCUGGAUCGCAUCGGCCGCACCCGCUGCCACAAGGACCUAGACGCUGCUCGUCGGGUUGUCAACAAGAACAAGACCGCCGCUCAACUCCGCAUUGACCACGGCCGCUCCUGCUACGUGUCCUUCACCCUCGCGGCUCCUCCAAAAGGGGUCUCCUACCUCAACCUCCACUGGCCGAUGCGAGAAUGCUCCGACACCAAGCCCCCCGCCUAUCCCUUCGUCCGGGCAACCGACAAGGACCUCGUCCUCUUCGACAUCGACAUCCUGAGCCGGAUUUGCGCCCCGUCAGAUCUGUUCGUCUACACGGCCGCCGGUCCUUCCCCCUCGGUGCAGUUGCUCCCCCGGUACACCGAGGACAGGAGGAGGAAAAGGCGGUUGUUCCUGAUGGAUAAAUUCUCCACAGGCAUCCUGCGGCUCUCGGAGAAGCGCUACAUCGUUGCCGACCUCAGUGUCCUGGAUGGUGCACUCUUCGUCUUCGACUCCUCCCAGACUGAAGAGUGGACAAUCAUCCCCAUUAUGCCUGGCCUGAUACGUUGGCACGCACCCAAGCAGAAGCAGAGCAGUGGCAAGCUCCCCAAGCUCUGGUCAACUGACGAUGUGCUCGCUCUCGACGACCGUUUCCUGUGCUGGGUUGACUACUUCAGCGGUGUCCUGCUAUCUGACUUCUCUUCCACUAGAGGUUCCCCGCCCCUCCACUUCGUACCUUUCCCUGGAGAAAAAGAAUACCCUGAAGAGCUACGGGUCUCAAGGCACUUCCCUGGGAGGUUCCGAAGUGUGUCCAUUAGCCAAGGCAAGAUGCGCUUUGUCCACAUUGACAAUGACUUCCAUGAGACAAUCCACGAUGAUGAUGACUCGCCAUGGCAUCAGCUUCCUCGCAUAACAAGCCAAGGGCAGCAGCAUAAGGGUCCCCAAAAAAUCACCAUUUGGACUUUGAACUCCGACAAAUUCAGUUGGGAGCAACAUGCCAUGAUCAACCUGGAUGGUCUAUGGGCGCAACGUUGUUACAAAGCUCUGGACAUACAGCAGCGUCUUCCCGAGUUCCCAGUCGUCAGUGUGGAUGACCCGGAUGUUCUAUGCUGCCUGUUAAGGGAGAAGGAAUUUGGUGGCAAGGGGUGGAUGAGCGUGAUUGACAUGAAGCUUGCGAAACUGCAGGCAUGUACUCAAUAUAUCAAUCGACGGUCCUACUGUGCUGAGUGCAAGGAUGCGGGCUGUGCUGAGUGUGUGGAUGACAAAAACGAUUUCCCUAAUAUGCCCCUACUUCCAACUGUCUUCUCCUCCAAACACCUUGAAAGGCCAACUGGUAACUACUAGCUAUAAGAAGCUCACUUAUAGUAUUCAAAUUAUGUCUUUUACGUACCGUUCUUGCAUACAGUAUUACAUAACAUGGUCGCCUUUGCUUAGCUUUCUGUUGGAUAUGGUAGUGUAACACUGGUCUUUUUGCUUAUUUAUUAUAUAUAUUUUACCUGUGAAUCUAUGACGCAACUCACCUGCUGCCUGGUUUGGUGUACGAGUCUCAGCAACUCUCUGCAUGCCGACUUUCUAGACCCGCACCACUCUACUUAUCAGGGUUGUGUGCCCGAUGUUAUUCCUGUCUCAGGUUUUUCAGUUUCCUGCCUUCAUCACGGACCUCUAGUGUGCCUGUGUUAAUAGUAAUAUGUUAAUUUAUUACCCCUCGGCAAAAAAUAGUAACAUGUUAAUUAAUUGAAGCAUUUACAAUAUUGUUACCAUGAACCUUCUGUUGGGCUGUUCAAGCGUUUCAGUUUUAGACGCUCCAGUUGUGUAGGUGCACUACACUGUAUAUCAAUAAUAGCUCUGGUCCUUCUGUCAUCAAGUUGUCCUUGUGUAGGUGCACUCCAUCUCCUUGUUGGAUCUUUUGCUCUUUUGGGGACGGUCCAUUUUAUCUGUACACGUGUAGUUCUUGAUUCAUCAGGCAGCCUUCUGUUGCUACUACUAUGGUGCGCUAUCUUGAAGCGGAUUCUAGGAACCACACUAUUUUGAUUGCUCUGGUGAAGGAUAGAACUAUAUUGUCCUCUAUUUUCUAGUAUGUCGGAGCAAAUGCCUUGUACCUUUAGAAGAUGAUAUACGAUGCUUUUAACACAUAUUUUUCUGUUGACAAAAGUUUUAGAAUGUGUUUUGUUUGGGUUACUUUGGGUCAACCAGGCCACAUCUUUGGCUGUCCCUGUUGUAAUCCUUUUGAUUCUGAUAUUGUGUACCUUUUAUACCCGUGUGUAACUGGAUACUCGGCCAAGGAAAAGCCGUUCUCCCUGCAUGGAAAUGUCAUUAGGUAAAACUCCCGUAGCAUUAGCCUCGCUGCCCUUCUCAUGUUACUUUCUUUGGCUUUAUUCAGGCGACGGGCCUUCCGACUGUCUUCUACAUCCUGUCAUGCAUAAUCCGACGUCCUUUGCACGUGGACUGUUGUCGGGACUCCAUGUAUCUUGAGUUUACUGCUUUCUUGCUGCCUUCAGCCUUUUCCCACCUGAAUACAGCACCCAUGUGCCGGCCUUGUCUGCAGCACAGUCGCCACCAAUUCCUUGCGUGUCAGCUGUAGUCCUUCCAGCUGAUUGACAAAGGCGAUACCUGCUCAUUGAGGCCACAAAAGUCACAUCAUGGCUAGUGUGGUGUUCUCAGACAACGCUUUGAUGACGAGUUAGCUGAGAGCUAAUGGAAAACAGAUAUGGAGUCAUGACGAUCUGAAACCUAAUCAAGGAUAUGAUGGCAUUACGUUUGCAUUAAUAUUGACGGCGAAGCAGUUUUCUUUAUCAAUAUACUCCACUGCAAUGCCAUUUCUCUUGUUUGUCUAUUCCUUCUUUUUGAACAAUUAUUGUGUACAUCUUUUUUAUGAAGUUGCAAUUCAUCUCAUCUUCCCAUACUGCUUGCGAGAUGUUCAGAUGGUGUAUGUAUCUGAGUUAAUUUUUAUUUCUAUUUUCAAAGGGGUGGCAUUGGACAACGACAAGGUUGCAACUCGUCUUUCAAGUAAGUCUGCAAGGUUUGUUCCAAAGAGGCGUAAGUGUGCAGCGUAAAGACAUGGAAUCUGGUGACAUGGUGUUGAUCACUUUGGCGUCGCUCCUAUCGAAGAUGAUGUUUGUGUUAAUGCCUUAAUGGUGCACUGCAGGCAGAACCAAGUUAAUAGGGCAAAAUCCAUAUAUGUGAUGAAGAUGAUGUACUGAUGAAUACCUAUAUCUAUUAGAGUAGACUAUGCAUGUUUCUGGAUCAUCUAAUCAUGAUGUACUGAUGAAUACUCCUACAAUUUCUAAGCUCUCUUUAAUUGGGAAGCUCUCAUAGCUCUAUGGUCUAGAGUUGUUGCUGCCUGCACCUCUCAGUCGGGUCCUCUCGUGUGGCCAUAUGGUGUUUUCUAUCCCUUGAUGCUUUAUUAUAUGAGAUAAGAAAGGACGCCCUUUUUU